GUGGAGGUCCAAUGCCAGACUUCGUACGGCGUCAGGACGUUCGCGACGGCGAGUAUUCCGGCAUCGGAUUUUGUUGGCGGGUACGUGCCGGAGGGUUACCUGCAUUUUUUGAGUUACAGGCUGAGAGAUUACAAGGGGGAGAAGAAUGGGAUUAUUAAUAUUUCUGUGAGGAUGAAGGUUCCGGAGAUGUACAGCUCUUGUGCAAGUUCAACGACGUCGUCUCCCUCGAUGAUGGGGUUUCCGGCGGCUGGAAACAAUAGUUUUGGCGGCAACAUUGCGAUCGGAGUUCCGGUUUGGUAUGGUGCCUAUCAGAAAAAUUAUUGAAGAUCCUAAUCACAAUUUUUUGUGCGUAAAUAUUAGAGGAUUUAGACUUUUGGUUACGGAUAAUGCAAACUCAACGUCUUUUGUGUUCUUGAGAGAGGAAAAAUUGAUUGUCACAAAACUUUAUUUUUGCAUGACGAUGAGUAAAGAAAAUUUAUAUUUGGCAAAAGUGGGUUGCCUCAGUUGGUAAGGUUAUUUCAAAAUAUAUUUGUCUUUCGUUAAUUUUAUCGUCAUUGUAAUUCUAUAUUAUCAAAUCUUGCGUGCAAUUGCUUUGGAGAAAGACUAUAAUGAUACAAGAUUCCACGUACAAGCAAAUUCUUCUUGGCAAUUCUUUGUUUCAAUUAAUAAAGUUUUUUAUUUUAUUUGUUCGUGGUGUACUUUGAUUUUCAACUUGGUAUCAAAGUGAUGAAGAUGAUACCCAUUCGGCUCCAAAUAUCAAUGGCUUCAUGCUUUUUGGUCUAGGGUUUUUGAAUGGAUCAUAGUUGGCCUGCCCAAAAAAAAAGUAUUUAAUUAAAAAACAAAUAAAUAAAGCCACUUUGUAAAGAAAACAAACUAAACUUUAUCGAGAGAAGAUAAAUUAAAUACAGUAACCACACAAGCUACGUAAUUAUUUUUCCCAAAAGAGAUAGCAAGUUCCCUACGCAAUCCUUUAAUUUCAAAAAAAUUGCUUCAAAAUCUUUUAGUUUCAGAAGAUUCUCAUUACAUUUCUUUAAGGGCAUGUUUGUUUGGCCUCUUUAAGUCUCAUUAAACUAGACUGUCUUGGAUAGGAGUCUUAACCCGUGUUUGGUGCAAACAAAGACUGCUUUUAAUGAGACUAAGUCAAACUCGCUCUGACUAAAAGUUUCACUAAUUGUUCUUAGCGAGUCCCCCCAAAAACUAGCGGAUUGCUAAUCCUGUUUCUAUUGCCCGCCUCAUCUGCAAGCAUGCGUUCCCAAUCUCCUUCUUCCCGCGAACCUAGUCACCAAAUCAUGCCUUCCACCCCCUUCUCCAGUUUCCAAAUUUGAAAUGGCUCUCACCAAUCUCUAUCCCGCGAACCCAACCUCCUCUUGCUUUAGCGAUGAAUUCAUUCAGUUAAGCUUCCAAUAAGCUUAAUCCACACCAUAAAGAACACUUCAAUUCGAAGGUUAAAACUUAUAAAUCCCAAAUAUCAAAAAUAUCAAAAUCUGCAAUAAAUCCAGAAAUCUAUUACGUUGGGUUGCUAUGAUCUUCUCUAGAAAUCCCAAAAAAACGAAAGACCUCUAGAAAUCUGUAGUGCUCUUCUCCAGAAACCCAGAAAUCUAUUACUUUGAUUUGGGAUUUUUGUGAAAAAAGAGCUAUCUUUGCUUCAAGGAACAAGAAGAAAGACCUAUUGGUCUUUUGACCAAAUUAGGUGCAAAAUGCACAUCUUCCUCAAAUGUUAUGAACUUAAGCCUACGAUAAUUGAGCUAUGUGAAAGAUCAUCUCUCCAAUUUGUUUGAACCAUGGGAAUGCGUAGAUUAGAUUUUGGUUGUAAUUUGAUAUGAUCAAAUGUUGUAAAAGAGCAUAAGCUCUUCUUUACUUUAAAGUAAUUUGAUUUGGUCAAAUGUUGUAAUAGAGCAUAAACUCUUCUUUACUUUGAAGUACUCCUUUCUUGUUUUCUUUGAUAUGCAUGAAAUUGGAGUAGUAGGGUCCAAAGCCCAAUAAGAAAACACGCCUUAAUGUGAUUAAACGUGUAACUAAAAUCAAUCACCAUCCCUAGACUGAGAUCCAACACUAGGCUCGUGUUGGAUUGAAUCAAAGGUUCAUAGUCAUCCUAAGGCCCUAAGACAACUAUAUAGUCCAUCAAUGAAUGCAAAGCUUAUGCUAGUAGUACCAUAUACUCUUGCUUUAAAAACCAUUUUACAAGCAUAGUGGGAGUAUCAUAUACUACUGAAUCAAUCACAUGGACCAAUAGUUGUAAUAGGACCAAAUUGUUUUAAUAAGAUUAAAAUGCAUUCUUGUAUGUGAUGAGACCUAAAAACCCUCAACCAAACCGUUAUUAAGUUGACAAGCGUGAUAGUGCUUUUGUUGUAUGAGAGAGAGAGUAUUUUUUAUUUGGUUAAUGCUUGAAUCGUAAACGUGAUUACACAAUGAAAGAUGACGGUACACAAAUGGCAAAAAUAGUUGGGAAUUUGUAAGUUACAGGCAAAGCUCAUGGAAAGUAAGUUUAUGCAAUGGCAUAGUCAAAGAGUUGUAUACCUAAUGUCUACCCUACAACAAAAGUCAACAAACACAAUCACAGCCACGAUUUCAUGUAUAAAGGAGCCUUUCACGUAUAUAAGUAAUUUGAACUCAAGGCAUGAGAGAUUAGAGCAAUUUACAUAAGACCCUAAAUUCAAUAUAGAGAACUAAAAACAUUGUAUAAAUCUAGAAACUCAAAUAUGAGGUAAAGACUAAGCAAGAAAUUUUCUAAAAUAUAAUUAAAGCUAAAGAAAAGUUGAUAGAAUAAGGAGCAGAAGGGAAGUGAAGACUGCACCACAAUAAGAAGGAUGAAAAGGAAAAUGUGGGUUGGUCUAGAACGAAAAAGAGUUUGAACUAAGAACUCACUUAGUGACUCCACCCAUGACCAUGACCACAGACACAGCCUUUGGUUUAAAACACUAAGCCAACAUACGUAUACUACAUGUAACACUUGUAGUCACAUUCCGUGGGAGAAAUUUCAAAUUAAGAUGUUAAUGUGAUAAAAAAUAAGGUAAAUUACACAAAACUACAUCAACUAUGGGGUGAACCACAAUCUCAUACCUAAUAUUUAAAAGUUACAAUAUCAAACCUCAUCUUACGAAUUUGUUGCAAUGUCAAACCUCUGUCAAAUUUUUAGUUAAUUUCUCUGUUAAAUGCUGAUGUGGCUUGAGACGGGGCCCACUCCCUAGCCCAAUUGGAUUAAAAAAUUAAUUAAAUAUUAAACAAUUAAAAUAAAAUUAUUUAAAUAUUUUUAUUAAAAAAAUGUAAGACCCACCCCCAAACUCAUCACCCUCACCCUUCUUCCCUACAUGUCUCCCCCAAACUCAUCACCCUCAUCCUUCAUCCCCAUUUCAAUCCUUAAUUUUUAAUUUACUCAAACAAAUCAAAUCCCAAUUGGAAUUUCGUAAACUAGGUGUGCUCUAUUGCUACCACUUUGACACCUCUGCCAUCGCCACAGAAAAUCCUCGUGCAUCCAUCUUUUUCUUUCUCUUCUGUUUCAAACAUGUGGUGGUGAUUUGGGAUCAAAGAAAGCUUUGGGCUUUGCUCAACUAGGUUUGUGGGUUUUGGCUCAAAGGAUAGGAGACGGCUACGCUAAGGUUUUGGGGUCGAAGGGAGAGCGGGUUCGAUCGAGUUUUUGGGGUUUGGUUUAGGGUCUAGUGAGGUUCGGUGGUGCAGGAACAUUUUUGGGUUUCUCAACGUUGGCUUGGCAGGUGAAGUCGAGCUUGGAGUGGGUGUGGAGGACGAGGUUUGUGAAGCCUAGGGCUUGGAGCUUGCGGACGAUGGCAUAGCCGACGUGGCUGCUGUUGUAGCGUGAAAGGGAGAAAGGGGAGAGAGAGGGGAGGGAUGGUGGUUCUGGGCACGGCGAGAAAGAGAAGUGAAGGGGACGAAGGAAACUACGGAUGGGUGAGGUUGGUUUUUUAUUUUUAUUUUUUUGAAUUUUGUUUAAAAUAAUUUAUUUUAAAUGAAUUAAAAUAAUUUUAAUAAUUAAAUAUUUUAUUAGUUGUUUGACCAUUUGCACAAGUUGACUGACACAUCAGCAAAUAUGGGCUUUGCAUUUGCCAUGUCAUCACUUCAUGGUCAAAUUGACGUAUUAAUUAAUAGAUGUCUGACAUUGCAACGAAUUCAUAUAUUAAAAUAUGACAUUGAUAGGAGCAUAUUUAUGCGACUUAGUUAGCUUGUUUUCUUGCAUUUUCAUAGCUAGUUUCUACUUAUUAGAGUGUUUUAAGCUAUUUUCGUGUGUUUUCAGGUUCAAAUGAUAAAGUUUGCAAGAAAGUGCAAUUUGGAGCAAUUUUGGGCCAAGAAUGGAUAGCACAUGUAUGAAGCAAGGUGGAUGGACGUUCUUGGAGUUGAAGAGGCUAGGAAUAUGCUAAGGAAAUGAAGAAAAUAAAGUCAAGACAAAGACGAUAAGGAAUCAGCUAAAAUGAAGGAAUAUUAUCCAAACUAACCUUAUCUUAUCUUUUCCUACCUUCAUGAUGUGAUGUAAACUAGCACACAAAUUAAACCCUAUUAAGAUAGUUGUAGUACGCGUAAGUAGGGAUCGUUCUAGGCUGGGGAUUAGUUAAGGAUGCUAAUCAACACAAAUUAAACUUAAAAACUAAAACUAGACUCAAACAAAUCAAAAUAAGCUAAAUUUACUCAAAUAACACAAAACUAAAUUGAAUUGACUCAAAACAAGAACUAGAAUGUAAUUUGGACGAAAAUUGAACUCAAAAGACUCAAAACAAUGAAAAACAACAAAUCUGGAUAGAUUUUAACCUAAGAACAGGAAAUAUAAAGGGGGGUUUGUUUUUGACGAAUUUAAGACCAAAACUAAACAGAUUUAAGACUCUAAAUAACUUUGAACGAAAUUGGUGAUUUAAUGGGUGAAUGGCUAGCUAGAGGGUCCUUCUCCACACAUGACACAUAUGCAUACAAAUCAAUUUCCAGUUAUUCUUCCUAUAAACCAUGAAUGACAAUGCCCCAAAUUAAUCGUGAUAAGCACAAAUUGACUUUCAAAUUUUCCUAAACUCAUUGAAUUGGACUCAGCGACGCAACCAAUUUAUUCUUAUCAAGUUCCCUACAUGAAUUGCAUAAUAGAGAUACAUAUCAAAGAUCAUUAAGUUCUAUGAAAAUCAUAAGCAUUGACAAGGCAUUCAUAACUAUGAACUGCAUGAUACUCCUGCCAGGAAUUUACUUAACACGAUCGUGACUAGCAACCUCCACUACUUGUAAAUAUAAGUUCAUAACUAUUAGGUGAAAUUCCCUUAUAUUUUAGCAUCAAAUCCUUACAUGCAAACUAAGUAUGCAUCCUCAAUCAACACACAAGAAUAAGUUAUCAAUCAAACAGAUAAGUAAAUUGCAUUCACGAUUUACGAAAUCAUAACUAGGUGUAAUCAAUUCAUAUCACAUACAUGUUCAUGGCUUUGAAUUCACCUCUAACUAAAACGAAAUUAGUUCCUCGUGGUUGCAAUUAAACAAAGACAAUCUAAUUUAAUCAUUGAACUAAAACUACGGAUAGAAUACACCUAGGAACGUUCCAACAAUCCAAAGCCUUGAAUGGCAGGCACAGCACCAAGGGUCUCCUCUCUUUCCUUCCUUGCAAAGUUGUGGCACAAUUGUAUUUUUCUGAUGUUUUGGCUCUUGUGUGUGUGUUGCGAAAAUAGGGUCAGAAAAUAUGUAUUUAUAGGCUAGGGUUUCGGCACAAAAGUUGUGAAAGAGAAGGAUUACAUAAUCCUAAGAAAAAAGGACUAGGAAAUUCGGCACAAACCUUCUAGAAAGGGUGUUCUGGCAGAUUUCUAGAAGAAAAGGGAUAAAAGGUGCGGCACCACUUAGGAUAAGGAAUAGGGCUUCUAGAAAGGGCUAUUUAGGUGAUUUAAUGUGCAAUUGAUCCCCCCUUGCAGUUGGAAUUAAGGUAGGAAAAGAUUAGGUUAGGAUAAGAUAAGAUUAGGUUAGUUUAGAUAAGAUAAGGUUGGAUAAUGUUUUGGAUAAUGUUCCUUCCUUUUAGCUAAUUCCUUAUCUUCUUUGUCUUGACUUUAUUUUCUUCAUCUCCUUAGCAUAUUCCUAGCCUCUUGAACUCCAAAAACGUCCAUCCACCUUGCUCCAUACAUGUGUUAUCCAUUCUUGGCCCAAAAAUGCUCCAAAUUGCACAUUCUUGCCAACUUUGUCAUUUAAACCUGAAAACACACGAAAAUAGCUUAAAACACUCUAAUAAGUAGAAAUUAGCUAUGAAAAUGCAAGAAAACAUGAGAAUGCAAGAAAACAAGCUAACUAAAUCGCAUAAAUAUGCUCCUAUCACUUAAUUCCAGCUGCAAGGGGGGAUCAAUUGCACAUUAAAUCACCUAAAUACCCCUUUCUAGAAGCCAUAUUCCUGAUCCUAAGACCAUCUCCAACCCUUGGGCUAAAAGCCAAAUUUUUUAGCCCGAAAAAUUUAGCUUUUAGCCCGGAAACAUCUUUUCUGCUCCAACCCUUCUAUCCUAAAAUUUUAGCCCGGAAUUAUUAAAGAAUGAAAUUAGCCUAAAUUUUUUUCUUAAAUCAAUUUUUUUUUUUAAAAUAGAUAUGUAGAUUAUUGUAAAUUAAUUUUAUGAACAUUUUAAUCUAAAAAAAUUUAAAUUCCGAUAAACAUUUCGCAUUUAGCCCGGGGGGAAACCUGGGGGGUAUUUGGCCCAGAAAUAGCAUUUGGCAUUUAGCCUAAAAUUUUAGCAUGGGUUGGAGAGUGUUUGGGGGGAUAAUUUGGGGGGUAAUUUGACUUUUAGCCCAGGGUUGGAGAUGGUCUAAGUGGUGCCGCACCUUUUAUUUCUUUUCUUCUAGAAAUCUGCCAGAACACCCUUUCUAGAAGGUUUGUGCCGAAUUUCCUAGUCCUUUUUCCUUAGGAUUGUGUAAUCAUUCUCCUUCACAACUUUUGUGCCGAAACCCUAGCCUAUAAAUACAUAUUUUCUGACCCUAUUUUCGCAACACACACACAAAAGCCAAAACAUAAAAAAAAUACAGUUGUGCAUAUGUAAGACUCUUAUAUUGAUGAAUAUGUCCACAAAUAAAACUUGAAAAACAAAAGUAAAUAGAUACAAAUGAAAGGUGAAUAAAAGACUUAUGAAAGUUAAUUGAUAACCGUGCAAAUCAAAAUUAAAUAGAUUAAAAUGAAAAGUGAAUAGAAGAGAGAUAAAAGUUAGUAUAUACCUCUGGUAGAUUAUGGAUAUGAAGCUUUAGAACUGUAUAUGACUCAAGCUCUUCAAAGCUAUCACCAUACUCCAUUUUAUCUUGGUCACCAAAUGUCUCAGAACUUUGCAUCAUUCUCUACAUAAAUCAAAAUCUAACGCAAGUUUAUAUCAUGAUAUGUCUUGUUUGUAAUAACAAACUAGCAUUAUGUCUCCUUUAUAGUUAAGAGGAAAGAUCUAGAAUAUCAUUUUUGAAAGAAAAAAAAAACCAUCAACAUAAAUCUGUGUGCAGUAUUAAGUGUGAAAUUAUCAAAGAGAUGAGCCAAAAACCCACUUCCAACAACACAUAUCUUGUCCCCAACUUGUUAAUUACCACUUGGACAGUACUACAGGUGUGGGGUGUUAUCACAAAAGACCCCGGUAUUAGUUAGAGUGGGUUAAGACAUUUAAAUUCUUCUUGUCUCACAGAUGAGGUCAAUGUGAUAUUUCAACAUUAGGUUUUCUUACGCUUUAUUUAUCUGGUUUUGUUCCAUUAGACACGUUUGGAAAUGAUCCAUCCUUAUCUUAUAUUAAUUACUAGAUGGUGAAAGAAAUCUUCACGAAUAUAUCUUACCUGCAUUUUCUGCGAAGAGAUUCAGUACACGAAAAAAUAGGACAAAUAAAAAAAAUGAAAUGUGACAUAAUUUAAAAGUAACAUACUGUACAUAAAUGUAAUGUAAUAUCUUUGUAAAAAAUUCCUAAUUUUUUUUAGGUCUUUGUCUUAUCGAGGGUUAACUACAUUUCACACCCUCUAUGUUUAGGGUGAUUUUCAAAACUUGCCACAAGUUUUCAAUUUUCUCACAUUGCUUCCUAAGGUUUUAAAAUUUUAGCAAUUUAGACCUUUUGUCUAGUGAAUCAUUUGAAUUUUCAUUAAAUUCAUUACAUGGUGAGCAUAAAACCCGUAAAUGAGUAUAUUGAUACAAUUUAAAACCUUAGGGGGUGAUGUGAGAAAAUUGAUAUCUGAUGGCCCAUUUUAAAAAUCACCUCUAAACUUUGAGAGUGCAAAGUGUAGUAGCCCUUGUAUUUACUUUGUUUCUAGAAAUUUUUUUUGACAAACAAUAGUGUUAGUGGGUUAAGUUGUUAGUUGUUAGGGGAAGAGGGAUCGGUGGGAUCAAACUCGCACUAGGGUGUAUAAACAUGAUUGUUUUUUGCCACUACAUUAAAGCGCCAUCUGUGUUUCUAGAAAAUCUUUCGAACGAUUCUUAGAUGCAAUUCAAUCAUGACUAAAUGUAUUUGUGUGAGCGAAAAAGUUGAUCAGUAAGCACCUUGCAAAAUCAGACACAAGAACAUGAAUAAAGAACCUACUUCUCUCCAUAAUCUAACGUUUUGAGUCCUGCCCGCUGCAGCUGUUCAAGUGUGAAAAUCUAUUUGAUCUGUAAGGAUCAUUUAAUUGACCGAGGACUUGUUACAGUUUUAACCUGGAGAAAGAAUGUUUCAAGCUUUGAAGAUGCCCUCCAAAGUGGGAAAGAAGUUCCUUCAACUUGCAAUGAUGGUGUUUCUCCUCAAACCUUAUUUUGGGAACUUUAACGAAAAACUCCCGGUACUGUUCACUUUAACGAAAAACCACAUUUUUACACUAAAAAGUCAAUCCUGGUAUUAAUCACUUUACCCUUUAUUUUGUCCUUAUCGUUAAAACUCAAAGUUUUCAAGCCCUUUUCAUUAGUUUUCCUUAUUUUCAAUCCGUAAAGAUUGAAGUGAAAUUUGAUGGUCUUCCACCAACAUCAUCGAUAUUGUCCUAACUAAACUACUUAUUACUAGGUGUUGAGUUUUAUUACAAAAACCUUAGUGAUAUCAGAAGUAGAAUCUCCCGUAUAUCACAUAUAUUAUUUUAUUUUAUGCCAUUGUGUUAUCCUUUUCUUGGGAGCAGCCUCUUCAUAAAUGGGGGUAAGGUUAGCCGACAUUCACCUCUCCCAGACCAUUUGUAAAGCGGAAGCCUUGUGCACUGGGUACGACCAUUGUGUUAUCCUUUUCUUUAACUGAAUCCAUAUUAUCAAGUCAUAAGGCUACGAAUCGAUGUCAGCCCUGUUUAUUUUUUGAAAGAAGUAAGUUUUAACUUCAUCCCAUGCAUAUUGUAGAUCUCUUUUAAUCCGUCGUACGUAAGGAUUGAGUGACAGAAUUAAAAAGGAAAAGCAAACAAACAUCCACUUUUAAACUUAGAAAAAUUAAUUAAAACCGAUUAGAAUCGAAACCAAACACAACCCUCCACUGAAUAAAGAAAAAAAUCAAACCACAUCAUUCAUGCGUAUCAGAAUUCACAUGAACGCAAGAGAUUCAGAUUUGUUAUGACAGCCAGACAUUUCUUGCCAUAAAACACGAAGUCACAAAGCAACUUCUUACAUUAUAAUGAAGGAUAGACCAAACCAUAGAGACAAUAAACGUAUCUUCCAAGAAAUAAGACAACCACAAAGUAAUAUAUUAUGAAACCUAGGAAUUUCCAGGAAGUGUUCGAGUCCCAAUUGAAAUUCUCAGUAUGGAUUAAAAAAAAGGACUAGAGGCUUUUGACUUGCCUCCAUCCGAGGUUUGUUCAUUAUCUAUUGAUGGAACCAAUGACACAAAAUGGAAUAGAAGAGCAUGUUCGCUGUAUAUGCGCGAGGGAAUCCGACAGCGGAAGAAAUAGGUAGAGCAGAGUAAAUAUUAACCCUGCUCUGAUACCAUGUAAAUUUAGGAUAGGCAAAGAAAGUAUUUACCAAGAAUAAUUACUCUGUUAAUGAUAGAAUAGUUAUAUACAGCAAAGAAACUAUAAACUAGGAACUAAGUUCACUACAGCUAUACAAUAAAGGGAAAGAAAAUCAAUCAAACAAUCGAAAUAUACAUUAUACAUGCCAUUGCCUAUUCUGUACCUUGAUUGCAAAGGAUUCUGAUUUCUUUCUAACACUCUUCUCGUUUCCAACUUCCUGUCCUCGUGUCCCUUCCUCUCACCAUGAAAGGCCAAUGUCAUGUACUUUAACAGGGGCGUGGGAGGCUGUUGCUUGAGCACUUGAGCAUCCUCAUCUUCCCCCCGUUGUCCUACAUUUCCUUCCUCGCUCCAUUCAUGACCAAUGCAAUGCAGUUCAGCAGGGGACGGUAUCGGCGUCUGCUCAAGAACUUGGGCCACUUCGUCUUCUCCCUUGCUCUUGUUGCACAACUAGGGCUUGCCUAUCGUUUUUGGGGCCCUGGCGAACAAUCAAAAUGUGCCUUUUUUUUUCAAUACACGAAUAUAUAUAUAUAUAUUUAAAGAGGGCUAGAACCCAAUCAAAGCUGGGGGACGCUAAGCCUUCACACCCAUAUUAUAUUACUUGAAGGAAAAAAAAAUACAAAGAAGGGACAUAGUACCUAAACCCUGAUGUAAAAGUAUAAUCCUAUACAACCAUUCCAAGCAUAACUCCUUAAAAAUUUAACCUUUAAGAAAUUGUCUUCUUGCAUUUUCUGAAGCAAACUCAUCAAUUAAUUAUUAUUUUGGUGCCUUUAGGGCCUAAGAUAGACCUGAUUCGAAAUUACAAAUGCUUUCCCAAAAAUUGGUUUGUGUAUAAGACUCACUUAUAUUAGUGAAUAUGUCAACAAGUGUGCCAGUUUUAUGGAUAGAUAAAACUUGAAAGCAAAAGCAAAUAGAUACAAAUGAAAAGUGAAUAGAAGAGUUAUUAAAGUUAAUAAAUAAACCGUAACUGUAAAAAUCAAAAUUAAAUAUAUUAAAACGAAAAGUGAAUAGAAGAGCGAUAAAAAUUAGUAUACGUCCAAUAAAUCAUGGAUACAAUUAUUUAGAACUGCAAAUGAUUCAAGCCUUUCAAGCUAUCACCAUAAUCCACUUCAUCUUGGUCAUCAUAUGCCUCAAAAAAUUUCAUCAUUUUCUCUACAUAAAUCAAAAUCUAAAGCAAUUAUAGAGCAUGGUAUUCGUGUUUGUAAUCAUGUACAAAACAAACUAGCCUUAGGUCCCUUUUAUAUUGAAGAGGAAAGAUCUAGAAUAUCGUUUUCGAAAAAAUAGUAGGCAUAAAUCUGUGUGCGGCAUUAAGUUUUGAUACGCUUUUAUCUGUUUUUGUUCCUUUGGACACGUUUGUAAAUGAUCCAUCCUUAUCUUAUCUUAAUUACUAGAUGCUGAAAGAAAUUUUCAUGAAUUAACUCUUCUGUUUCAAUAAAAACAGUUAAUUUCGAUUACCGCUUGAGGGCUUUGCUCACUCUGCAGAACAUAUAAUUGAAAAAGAGGGGUUGCGUGCGAGCCGAGUAACGUAGGUAGGUGGAUCAAACUAUCAACUCCAGGGGCUUCGUUCCCCUUUUCUUCUUGGAUCACAGCUACGAGUCUUAAGGCAACAGAAGGCAGAAAAAGGAAAGUCGCUUUAAUUACAAUUACAAAAAAGAAUUUAGGCACAGCCUUUUCCACAGUUAUAGAAGAGAAGCCUUUGCUGCGCUUUGGAAUGAGCUAGAAGCGAAAAAAAGUAUACAUUGGAUGUUUGAAUUGCUUCAUCUUGAUUUUGAACAUGGAAUUUUUUCUUCUGAGGUAGCAGAAAGGCGAGAAAUAUUAAUCUUCGAAUUAGGCUUAACAAUCUUUAUGAGUAGCAUACUAGUGUAUUUAAUGAUUUCAGGUGAUGAAUAUAUUCUAGCUACCUUUCUCCGGCUAACGCGUAUCCAUUUUAUUGUCAAAAUCUCUAUAAGCUGAAUGAUGUCACUCGAGUGUUGAGCUUUCAAAGGGUUUUUCAAGACCAUCCAAGGUCUUCGUUUUAUCUAGGGCUAACUACAUUUGACACCCUCCAUAUUUAGGGUGAUCUUCAAAAUGGGUCACGAAUUUUCAAUUUUCCCACAUUGCUCUCUAAGGUUUAGCAAUUUAGACCUUUUGUCUAGUGAAUUAUUUGAAUUGUCGUUAAAUUAAUGACAUGGUGAGCAUGUAACCUGUAAAUGAGUUGAUAUGUAAGCCACAUUUACACCACAUUGACUAAAAAACUCAUUGAUUAAAUAAUAAUUAGACACCCGAAUAUACAAAAGGAGUAAAUUGAUACAAUUGUAAAACUUUAGGGGCCAAUGUGAGAAAAUUGAUAUCUCAUGGCCCAUUUUAAAAAGGGAUGUGAUAUCCACACACCCCAUUUUACUUCUCACACACCUUUUUAAAUUUCAACCGUCAGAUCGGAUGAAUUGAAGAAGAUUAACGGACAUAAAUUAUCAAGGAGUGUGUGAGAAGUAAAAUAGGGUGUGUGAAUAGCAUAUCCCUUUUAAAAAUCACCUCAAACCUUGAGGUGUAGAAUGUAGUUAUCACUUUUAUUUACUUUGGUUCUUGCUUUUUUUUUUUUUUUUUUUUUUUGACAAUAAUAAUGUUAGUAAUUUAAAUUGUUAGUUGCUAAGGGUAAGAUGAAUUGGUGGGAAUCAAACCCGUACCAAGAAGUAUAGACAUGAUUGUUUUCCUACACUGCAGUAAACCCCCAUCUACGUUUCUUGAAAAAAAAUUGAACGAUUCUUAGAUGUAAUCCAAUCAUGACUAAAUGAAUUCGUAUGAGUGAAGAAGUUGAUCAGUAAGCACCUCGCAAAAUCAGAUACGAGAACAUAAAUAAAGAACCUGCUUCCUUCUCUCCAUAAUCCAACUUUUUGAGUUUGAUCCACUGCGGCUAUUCAAGUGUGAAAAUCUAUUUGAUCCAUAAGAAUCAUGUAAUUCUCCGAGAAGUUGUUCUACUCAAGGAGCUGAUUCACCAAAGUCAUCUGGUGGCGAGGGCGCUGGUUAGGUCGACGACCUACUGGGACAGGUGUCGUUCACAAUUUGGGAUGGAAGAGCUCGAGUGAUGGGCAUUUACAGGAGUGGUGGAAGUGUAAUGAACUACAGGGUCAAACUUGGACUCUAAGGGGGCGUUUGUUGCGCCGGACUGUCUCGGACUAGACUAGUUGCAGGGACUAAGCUGGACUGGCUUAGACUAGACUAAGCUGGACUAACUUAGUGAAGCGUUUGGUACAGUGUCAGACUAAGAAGCAGGAUUAUAAAAACAGUACUGUUCAUCAGAUUUGUGUUUGCUUACACUAGGACUACAAAUUUUUUCCAUUGUGUAAUAAAGUAAUGCUACAAAUGUCAUGAGAAGAUACUUGUGUAAUAGAGUAAUCCUAAACUUUAUGCAAUAAAAUCGAACAUUAACUAAUGAUAGUUUUCUUGGAUUAUAGAGUUUAAGAAAACAGAACUCAUAUUAGAUAUUUGUCUGAAGCAAGUAAAAUUGCCAUGGAAAAUGUCACUUAAGUUCUUCACGUGCAUGAUAUAUGGUGUUCUGGUUCUCUGUUGGGUGAAGAUGACUAGGAUCCAAUGGUGGUAGGGUUUUGAAGGAAGGGGAAACGUGAGUACUAAUACUUUGGUUUCAAGAAUCCUCCAAGUGUACCCAACAAACCUUGCUCAAAAGAAAAGAAGAUAGAAAAGCAUGGUAAUUAAACAGGCUAUAAGGGCCACCUCUUUUUCCAUGUGGCAUAAUUCAUAGCUGACUAGCUUAACAAGCAAGAGCAAGUACAUAAGAAGAUACUUGUGACAAGUCAAUCUUUGCCAUUGAUUGACUCUUAAAACAUCAUUCACUAAACUUUCAUCCAGGAUAUUUUACAAAAUACCAGUGAACUAUAGUAUACCAUUCAAAAGUAGAUCUCCAUAAUUUACAAACUCUUAGUUAACAUUAGCCAAAAUACUUUAUAGUGGAAAGCUAAGUUAUAAGUCAUAACCUAAGAUUGUACGAUUAAUAAAAUACAUCCAUAUCAAAAGGCACCACAUAAUAUACUCAUCCGCUUGCUUUGUCGCUUAAAAGCCUUUGGACAAACACUUUCUUGAGUUCCGGUUUGAUUGCCCUGAACACUCCCACAUUUUUUGGUUUAUCCAAAAUAAGAGACAAUGCAUCAAUUUGAUCCAUAGGAGAAAGACCCAUUUCUUCAAGUUCGUUAGCUAUGUCACUAUGAUCUGCAGUACCUUGAACUAAAGCUUCAGUUACCAUUUGCAUCCUCUUCCCACUUUCAACAUAAAAUUCUUUCAGUCCACUGAUAAUUGCCUCGGUUCCAUCACUUGAACUUCCCACACCUCUUUUCCUCUUUCGUUGGCUAUUUUCAGAUGGGAUGCUUUGUUGGCUUUGUUCGUUCAUUGAAGAAACAACAUUUUCACCUCCAAUAUCACUUGCACCAACCUGAUCAUGACUUUGUUCCUCCACCAUUUUAGUAGGGGUUUCGGCUACAUUACCCGUAGCCCGAUCUUUUCCAAAUAUAUAUGCAAAUCUAUCAUACAGUGGAAAAUGUUUGCUUCUCCAUCCAUCGGCUUCUUUAUUUUUCUAAGAUUAUAUCAACAUAGCAAAACUAAAAUUGAGCAUGCGUAACAAAUAUAGCAGCAAGAACAAAACUAAUGUAUAAAUAAAAUAGGAUAUGAACUUGCACAUAAGUUUGCCAUGCGUCAUCACUGUCAACUUCAACACACUUUUUGACAUCAUUCCAUGCAAAUCCACUUGUGUUUAUCAUGUCAACGACCAUACUAUAUGUUUUUUUCCAUUUCUUCAACUUUGACUCAAUAUGUGGAGUUGCUUUUAUAUUGGAAUGAGGACAUAAAACAUUGACAGCUUUCGCUAUUUCAAUCAAAGUACCUUGUUUGAAAGCACCGGUGUCACACCGUUGCUUCCGAGCAACAAAAUCCUCAAGAACGGAUAAUAAUACUUCUUCCUCAAAUGCUUCCCAUUUACGCCUUCUUCCUUUUGGCUCUUGAGUAGCAUUCAAAAUAUUGUCUUUAUCCAUACCUAAACAAAAAAUAUUUGAAUGUACUAAAAUACAAUACAAAUAAUCAAUUUGCAUAAUAUCCAAUCAAUUUGCAUAAUAUCCAAAUAAUUUGCAUACCAUCCAAUCAAUAAAAAAGUUUUAACAUUCACUGAUGAGCAAUCUAAUAAUUAUGCUAAUAUCCAACAAAUGCAUGAUAAAAAGGAAUACUAAAAUAAAAUGUUAUCAUUAACACAUAUAGCUAGUUCGGUUGCUGGUUCCUAAUUGCUCUCCACUCAUCAUACAUUUCUUGAGCCAUGGCAUUCCUCUUUGCAGUCCACUGGUCAGAUGUUUCAACACUACCAACAUAUUCACCUUCUUCUGUAUUUUGUCCAUCUUGUAUUAUUGUCAAAUUUUCCAGUGGAUCUACAAACAUCUCUUGCCUAAUAAGAUUGUGUAGUAGGCAACAAGCGGUAAUUAUUCGACCUUGUGUCCUUAUCGGAUAGAAAGAUGAACUUCUUAGUAUCGAUCACCUUCCUUUUAGCAAGCCAAAACAAUGUUCAAUUACAUUCCUUGCCUUAGAAUGCUUCAUGUUAAAAUACUCUUCCUUAUUAGAAGGCGUUCGUCCCUCCCAUUCAGAUAAAUGAUAAGGUAUUCCACUAUAUGGUGCAAGGAAUCCUUCACCAUUUGUAUAACCACCAUCUACAAGGUAAUAAUAACCUAAUAAAAAAAAACAUUAUUAGUGUUUUGUAGUUGACAAACAAAACUAGACCUAACUUACACAAUUGAGACUAAUUAAUACUCUUACCCAUUGGUACCUUAAAACCAUUAGGCCUAGUAAUUGCAUCAUAUAGCACUCUAGAGUCUGAUGCGGAACCCUCCCACCUCGGAAACAGAUAUAUGAAUUGCAUAUCUCCUGAACACACACCUAACACAUUAGUUGCGACUCGACCCUUUCUUGUUCGGUAUCUUGGUUUGUCAAUUUCAUGUACAUGUACAUCAAUGUGUGUUCCAUCUAUUGCUCCCAAGCAAUUCUAAAAAAAAAAAAAAAAAAAAAAAAAAAAAAAAGCUUUUGUUAAUUUAUACAAAGGGAAUGAAGAGUUAAAGCUUAGGGAAAAUGAAAAAAAAUUAUCAUACCUUAAAACAUCGCCACCUAGGAUCUGUAGAAUCAAUAGGCACAUGCUGAGGGACUUUUAGUAGGAUACCUUGUAAUCGCAAAAUUCCUUGCAAUACGCUAUUGAAAUACCUACUUAUAGUCUCUCCCAACCUAUAAAAUCUACCGCCAACACUACGAUUCUUAGUAUAAUGUGCUAGUAUUUGUAAAGUCAUACACACCUGCUCCUCUACAGACACCAAACCAUUAGUUUUUACCCUCCCAUCUUGACGAAGUAAGUCACAUAAUAUGGCAAAAGUCCUUCUAUCCAUUCUCAAUUCGUUGACACAUUCAAUAUCAGUAUUCCCUAUUAUACCAUUCAGAUAACACAAACUAAUCUCUCGUCUAAAAAGUGAACGGUUAGUCAAAGUGGGUCGUUCAACAUGUCUCUGUUUGGCCCUUACCAUCAUCAACACAAGAAUCGUACAAAUGCAAAUUGUCUCUAAAUGAGACAUCUCUAACAAUAAGAUCAAUAAAAGCUUCCUUCGAUCCAUAUCUAUCCAAACAAAAAAAAAGGAAAAUUAAAUAAUGACAUUAUAUAUGUAAUAUUUACUGUUAUUAAGGGUGAUGGAAAUGAAGUGAUUAUGAUACGAAAUGAACUAGAUCAAAAUAAACGGUAUACAAAGAAUUCUGAAACAAAUAACUGCAUUAACAGCCCAAAAAAUAACCAGCCAAGUCACAAUUAAUGUUGGAUCAACAAAAACAAAAAACCAGUCAAGUCACAAUUGCUAGGCAUUGCAUGUCAAGAGGGAAAUUAAAGGACACCUGUAAUGCAGUAGCCUUAGCCUUAUCCUUCCGUUUAUGCUUCUCUUCUCUGCAACCAACAACCACAGAAUAUUGUAGUUCAGCAUACAAAACAUUCACAUUGUAAUAUCAUGGUUAUAAACUAAAUACACACACACGCAGACACACACACUUACAGAGCACACACACACACACACUUACAGUGCAGAAUACACACACACACACACACACACACACACACACACAUACACUCACACUCACAGACCACCUAAAGAUACACACACACACACACACACACACACACACACACACACACACAUACAGACCAACUAAAGAUACACACACACACAGAAACACACCAACUAAACUCACAGACCACAAAAAAAACAUCCAUUCUAGUUCAAGAUCAAAAGAUGAGCAAUUAAGUAAGGACAAAAAUAGUUCAAACCGGACACUAAUCUUUUGAAUGAAACUCAAUCGCAACAUGAGGAGAAAAGCAGAGAGAUUGUUGCAGGGAGGACUUCCAGUUGGAACAAAAAUUCUAGACCAACCCUACCCCCUUCCCUGCCUCACCCUCUCUCGCUCCUCCCCUCCACGUUAAUGAGUACACACAAACACACGCAUGUACACACAGAAAUUACACACACACACACAGUACACAAACACACACACACAGAGUACACAAAUACACACACACACACACACACACACACACACACACACACACCCCACGUUAAUUAGUACACACAAACACACACACACACACAGUACACAAACACACACACACACAGUAAUGAGUACACACACACACACACACACACCCCACGUUAAUGAGUACACACAAACACACACACACACACAAAAAUUACAUACACACACACACACACAGAAAUUACAUACACACACACAGUACACACACACACACAGAAAUUACACACACACACACACACAGUUCACAACCACACACACACACACACACACACACCCCACGGUAAUGAGUACACACAAACACACACACACACACACAGAAAUUACACACACACAGAGUACACAAACACACACACACACACACAGAAAUUACACACACACACAAAGUACACAAACACACACACACAGAGUAAUGAGUACACACACACACACACACACACACACCCCCACGUUAAUGAGUACACACAAACACACACACACACACGCACAGAAAUUACACACACACACACGGAGAAAUUACACACACCACACACACACACCCCCCCCCCCACGUUAAUGAGUACACACAAACACACACACACACACACAGAGAAAUUACACACACACAUAGAGUACACAAACACACACACACAGAGUACACAAACACACACACACACACACACACACCCCCCCCCCCCCCCCCCCCCCCGUUAAUGAGUACACACAAACACACACACACACACACACAGAAAUUACACACACACACACAUAGUACACAAACACACACACACACACACACAUACACACCCCCCCACGUUAAUGAGUACACACAAACACACACACACACACACACACACAGAAAUUACACACACACACACACACACAGUACACAAACACACACACACACAGAGAAAUUACACACACAGUACACAAACACACACACACACAGAAAUUACACACACACACACACACACACAUAGAGUACACACACACACACACAGUACACAAACACACACACACACACACAGAAAUUACACACACAGUACACAAACACACACACACACACACACACCCCCACGUUAAUGAGUACACACAAACACACAUACAGAAAUUACACACACACACACACACACACCCCCCCCUCCACGUUAAUGAGUACACACAAACACACACACGCACACAUAGAAAUUAAACACACACACACACAAUACACAAACACACACACACACACAUACACACCCCCCCCACGUUAAUGAGUACACACAAACACACACACAAAAAUUACACACACACACACACAGUACACAAACACACACAGACACAGAGGAUAGUAAGACCCAAAAGUUCCAUCUUACCUGCCAAUAGCUAAAUGUUAAAUUUCUUGAACAACACAACCUAUAUGCCAAAUACCUGGACAGCUAACUAACGUUGGACAUUCGUUGUACUCAAUCAACAUAUAUCCCAGGACCAAGAAAGUUAUAAAGAAACAAAAUGAAACAAGAAUAAAAAAAAUGAAAACAAAAACUUAAGAGAAAAGAGAAAUGCAUAAUCAAGUUAUCCAUGCUCAGUGACAUUAGAAUAUGCAAACAGAAUAAUUGACCUCAUCAUCCAGAAAAGUUAAGCUAAAGAAACGCAAAUGUUUCGAUAUGAGCUAAAGCAUACCAAAACAACUAUGCCCAGUCAUGUUCGAUUAACCUAAUUUGGCAGUGAAAGGCCUUCUAGUGAAUGACAUGACUUUAACACUAAAUCGAGAAGAGGAAACUCUUCUGCACUAACUCAUCAAUUCAUCCUAAUUUGGCAGAUAGAAACAUACAGUGAAAGAGGUGCUUGGAGAGAGUAUGCUUGGAGACGAGGAUUUUUGGUAAUGACAUACACAUUACACACACACACACACACACACACGCAGACACACACACACAGAGUACUCCCAUUGUUGAAACAUCAAUUUUUAAAAAUCGAAAACAACAUGUGGGUAGGACUUCCAAGUUUUACAACUUUGACAUCCUAAAUUCCCAAGUUCCAUCUCAUCUUAUGAAAAGCCCAAAUUCUAAUUUCAAUUUCACCUAAAUGUCAAAACCCUAAUUUAUUCAAGUGCAGAUCUCUAUGAUUCAAAAAUUAUCAAACCCAAAACAAUAAAAUCAAAUAAAGCUCAGUAAAAUUACCAUCUGCAAUACAAAUACAUGAAAUUAAUAGAAGAAUCGAAGUUUACCAUACAACUCAGAUGAGGGCCAGCAUAUUGAUAAGUGAAUAUUAUAUUAUAUAUUUAACCCUAUUCUUAGUAUAUUUUGGAUAAUAUUUUGGAAGAAUUUUGAUACUUUAAAUUGUAUUUUCAAUAUAGGACUUUCGACUUCCUCUGGAACAAAACGUGGUCAAAUGGACGAAUUUCGGAGUAAUUCCAAUUAGAAGACGUUCGUGAGUCACUUAGCUUGGUCAUAUCAAAAUUUGGGAUUUUUCCAUCAAACGGUUAUUUUCUGGCGAUAAAAUAAAGGAGCGAUGCGCGGUGCUGGAAAAUGACGUUUCUGGGCUUAAAUUGCGUUUUUGGAGCCCAAGAUGACCUCGGAUGGUUUCGUGGCCUUCUAGAGAUGUGUUCGGAAGGUCCUUAUCUUUAAAACAAGCUAUCUUGAGCCGGAUUUGGAGGAGAUCUGAGGCUAAAACGUGGCUGGACAAAUACUUGGCAGAUUCUCCUAGUUUAAUUAGGGUUUUAUUUUCUAAGAUAUUUUAUUAUUUUUCUUAGUUUCCUAGUUGGAAUAAAAAAAAAACCUAUGUCUUAGGGUUUGUGGAGGUUGAGCAAAUAUAUUGCUUUGGCCGUCUACAAUUUUUGGGGAUGCUUAUUAUUAUUCAACUUCAGAGACAAAGAACUUGGCUAGGGUUCUUUGAGAUUUUCUACUUCAAGGUGCUUUCAUUCCUUUUAUUUGUAAUAAUAUUUUCUUUUCAAUUAUGAAUAUGCAUAACUAAUUCCUUUUGCUAGGGCGAAGCCUUGAGCCUUAGCAUGAAUAUGUAAUUUUUAUUUAAUUGCUUACGAUUGAUUGCAUGCGCACUUUGAAUUAUUGAUCACUGUUUUAAACUAUCUAAUUAUCUUGAUGAUUGGCCACCAUUAGGAUGUUUAGACAAGUAAUUGGAUGCAAUUCGGUCGGAAUAUCACCGGGGGAUUGAGUAUUGCUUCUUGUGAUUAAUAAUUGUAAUUCCAUCUAAGGCGAAUAUCACGUUCUUAGGGGUUGCAUGGUUCUUAAAAAGGUUUUCAUAAAACUUCAGGAGUCUUGCAUGUUCAUAUUUGAUCUGAAUAUCACAGACGGAUUGCAUGUUAGAUAUAUGUUCUUGCUUGAAUAUCACGAGGAGAAUAUAUAUUAGGAAAACCUAACCUCGAAGUAGCAUGUGUAAAUCGUAAGUAAUUGGUAGAAAUUCAUAGGAUUGCUGGGUGAUGGUGGAACCCUAGUGCCUUUAUAACUUGGUAUUUAAAAAUCUUUUCUUCGAUUAUAUUAGUUUUUAAUUAAAAUUCGUUUUUUUUUUUAAUUUACCCAAUCUCAAACUCUAUUUUCUCAAGUUUUAAUUCUAAGUAUUUUGAUUAGGAAUUGUUUCUACAUAAAUUAUCCCAAUAGUCCUUGAGGAAAACGACCUUGCAUGAGCAUCUAUACUAUGAUAUCCUUGUAUUCUUGCAAGUAUUUCAUGUGAUUUUGACCCUAUUUGCAUAGACUUAAAAAUCCUAUCACAUAUGCAGAGAUCGGAAGACGCAGAGAUGAGGGUGAGGAGGACGAAGAUGAGGGAGCACGGCAAGGACGACGUUGAGGGAACGUAGAGAUGAGGACGAAGGGAAGACGCAGAAAAUCUCUCGGUUUGCUCUGGCUUACGAAUCCGCCCAAUUUUGGGGUUGCUCGUUAAGAACGGCUAAGGAGGUACUUAGUCCAAGCGAGUCCGGGUUAAGCUCAUUAAAGCUAAUCCGGAUGCACACCAAACGUCGGACUAUAGUCUAGUCCAGUCCAAGCCCUCUUAAUCCUGUCAAACAAACGUGCCCUAUGGGCAAACAUGCGAAAAUAGGGUGAAAAGAUCUUUGGUUCAGAAGUCGGUCCAGUGGCCAGAAUCGGUCUUGGACCGGUCUGGGCCUUGGGGCGAGUAGCCAGAGUGAGUCCUGGAGCUGGGCAACCCGCCUGGUUGGUUGGGUCAUGCACUGGGCUCAUAUGUGGGCCACCUGCCUGUGGGUUUGCGUUGCAAUGGCUGCGGCUUGAGUUUAGGCCUACUGCUGCAAUUGCUGCAGUGGGCUAGGUUUCCUGCCCUCAACCUGUUGUGGUAUAGGCUCCAAUUUAGGCCUCCUUCCCUAGGUGGUGAUGGCAAUGGCAACAAGGGCUACUACCUGUGGCCACAUGGUGGUUGCUACAUUGCAGUCGUGGUGAUAAUGGCGUUCCGCGACGGUGGGGCUUCUGUUGCUGUUGUGUUGAACCUCGAGGACCGUCUUCAUGAGGCCACGUCAUCGUCUUCGUUCUCUAAUCCAAAUCCUUAAAUUAUGGGGUUCCAUUCGUCGUGGUUUCAGAAUUUCCUUUCAUUGUAUCUUUACUCCAGGGACUAAUCAAAGAAUUUUUCUAGGAAAAAUUUCAAUGACUAGGAGCAUAUGAGAAAUUCAACAUAACAAAAAAUUCCAAGAACCAAAUUCUUCGAGCGUUUGAAUCAGGCUCUCAAUGAAAGCACCAAUUUGUGGUAGCAAAUUUUUUUCGCCUUUGAUCUUGACGAAAAUGUACCUACAAAACAAUCAACACCUUUAAUCAAAGACUAAGGUCUCAUGCUCAAUUUUGAUUCAGUGUUUAGAUAAAGAAGAAGAAAUUAAGUUUUCAAAUUAUAUAAUAAACGCAUUUAUGCAAAGGGUUGAGUUUCGUAACAAAUCGUGUAAAUUCAAUUCCAAGCAUGACUCGGGAAAAUUCUCCAACCAUGCCACACACUACAGUUGGAUUUCCUCUACAAUUAGUUGCAAGUUGGAAACUUCAUUCACCACGUGAUAAGUCAGGUGGUGAGGAGAGGUGUAUGAAUGUAUGUGUCUAUCACUAGACGUUACAACUUCAAUGAUCAUACUAUAAAAAUUGAUCACUAGUGAGAGACUAUCCAUAUGCUAUGUUUAUGUAGAAGAAUUUAUCCACAUGAGGAUAAGAAAGAUAGAAGAAGGAAUAUAUGUAAUGCGAGAGCACUUUCAUGUGUAACAGUCAUACCAAAAAAUUUCUCCACAUGAUUAUUUAAAAAAUACGUAAAGAUAGUCCAUAUUUUCAGAAUGUUUAUCUCCACAAUAAAUUGUAAGAACAAGUUGCUUGAAAGUUUCCCUCCGCUAUAAGAAGCGUGAACCAAGUACGUGGAAGUUUCUCUUAAAAAACAAAGACUUCUUUAAAGGCCCAAGAGUCAACUUGGAAUCCAUUCAACAUUUUGUCAAGAAAUCCAUUCAACAUUCGGCUCGUAUUGUAUUUCAUCGUUCAAUUUGGAUUCCACAGAAACCACGUGGGUCUUUCUCUCUCCUUUCUCACACCCUUCCCUCAACACUCCUACAUAACCUCCCACCCACACCUCUUCCCUCUCAACGGCUCUCACAAUUCCCCUAACCUAACACAAGCAAUUCAUCAAACACUAGCGCGCACUCUUCAUCGAUCAUGGCAGCCAAUUCCCGGACGCUCGAAAUCAAGGUGAUCUCCGCUGAGAAUCUGCAAUUAGAUAGAAAACCCAUCAAGAAAAACGCUACCGUGACCGUCUGGACUGACGGCAACAGCCAGUUUUGCUCCACGGACAUGGACAUCGAUGGGGGCGCCUACCCACGGUGGAACGAGAAGCUCGUGCUCAACUUCCCAACGCACUCCAAGUCCAUCACGGUGGAGGUCCAAUGCAAGACUUCGUCCGGCAUCAGGACGAUCGGGACGGCGACGAUUCCGGAGUCGGAUUUUGUUGGCGGGUACGUGCCAGAGGGUUGCAUGCAUUUUUUGAGUUACAGGCUGAGAGAUCACAAGGGGGAGAGGAAUGGGAUUAUUAAUAUUUCUGUGAGGAUGAACGUUCAUGAGAUGUACGCUUGUGCAAGUUCAACGACGUGGUCUCACUCGCAGAUGGGGUUUCCGGCGGAUGGGAACAAAAGUUUUGGCGGCGGCGUUGUAACCGGAGUUCCGGUUUGGUGUGGUGCCUAUCAGAAAAAUUAUUGAAGAUCCAAGGCACAAUUUCUUGUGCGUAAAUAUUACAGGAUUUAGACUUUUGGUUAAGGAAUAUACAAACUCAAGGUCUUUUGUGUUGUUGAAAGAAAUUUGAUGCAACCAUUUAAUUCAUUGUUACAAUACUUGAUUGUUUUUGUUUUGAUUAAAAGAAAUUUUCUCAAUAUCUUAUAGUGAUUGUAAUUAUAUAUUAUCAACGCCCACCAUUUCCUCAAAUUUUCUGCUUGCACAACACAUUUACAAUGUGCCGGCACCAGGUAGCCGACAGCAAAUAGGGUGAAAUGCUUAUUUAGUCUCUAAACUCUCACUUCAGUAAAAAUUAGGUAUCUGAAUUAUUUUUUGGGUAAAAUAAGUCCCUAAAUUCAAUAAAAACUGCUAAUUUGAUCCCUACUAUUAUAUUCAAAACUAUUUUAUCCAAUUUUUUGUCAAUUUAAAUCACUUGACACACUUUAGGGUGUAAUACCGUUUUUUUCUCGCCCAUAAGCCCUUAACAUGUCGUAUAGGUUGCGAAUCUAAUAUCUAAUUUACCCUCCAAAGUUAACUCCAUGCACUAUUUCUUUAUGAAAAAUUACCAAUCUACCAUUCAAUGUGUAUCACAUGCAAAUAACGUGACUUAAAUUGACAGAAAAUUGAAUAUAAUAGCUUUGAAUCUAAUAUUAGGGAUGUAAUUGGUAGAUUUUUAUAAUUCAAUGACUGAUUUUUUUGAAAACAAAUAAUAAUUUAAAAACCUAAUUUUCACUUAAAUAAUAAUUAAGGGACUAAUUUGGCGGUUCACCCUUACAUAUAUAUUGCAUAUAUACUAAACCAAUUUACGCAGAAGCAGAUAGGGAAGCAGUGGGUCAAAUUCAUUGUGAUAUUUGAAAUAGCUGACAACGGCAACAGUCGAGUAAUGCACACCACCUUUGACUUGAUUAACCAGUGGUUGGGAGAAACGCAUUACUAAAAACCCUAAUCACCAAGGUAAUUUACCACUUUCUAGCGAUAUUCUACCACUGGUCGUUUAUUUACUAGUUACCUUAUCAAAAUUUGUGGACCCAAUAAAUUGUUGAUCUAUGAAUUAAAAAUUCAUGAGUAAAUGUUCUUUCACAUAAUACCAUUAAAAUUACGUCCAAAAUAUUGAGUAUAAAUGGAAUACGGAUGAACAUUUUAACAGAAUUAUCCAAAAGAACCAUUGCAUUGCAUUGCAUUGUGACAAGUUUAAAGACCAAUACUCAUAAAUUUUUGGCUAAAUUGAAUUAAUGGUCCCUGUGGUGAUAGGUUAAUUGGAUGAUAACCCUCGUGGUGAAAAAAUUUGAAUUUAAACCCUCGUGGUGAAGUUCCAUUAGAAUCCAAGCCCAAAAUUAACAUUGAUGUCAACUUUUGUUAACAUUUCCACCUUGGUUCUUUGGUUCUGCCUCUCCCUGCCUGGUUCUUAGCAUCCCAUCUCUCUCUCAUUUUCUCUCCAGAUUUUCGGCCUGGAGCAAACCAAUGGAUGUUUAUCUGCAUCCCAGCACCCAAAUCAUAGAGUCAUAGCUAUAGUUAUGGAACAUAUGAAUUAAUUAACUAAUAAUUUUCAGCUCCAAAAUAAAAGUAAUUAAUAGCAACAACAACAACAACAAAGCCUUUUCCCACUAAGUGGGGUCGGCUAUAUGAAUCCUAGAACGCCAUUGCGCUCGGUUUUGUGUCAUGUCCUCCGUUAGAUCCAAAAUCAAGUCUUUUCUUAGGGUCUCUUCCAAAGUUUUCCUAGGUCUUCCUCUACCCCUUCGGCCCUGAACCUCUGUCCCGUAGUCACAUUUUCGAACCGGAGCGUCAGUAGGCCUUCUUUGCACAUGUCCAAACCUCGGAUAUCCUCAUUCCCAAUCUUAUCCUUUCUCGUGUGCCCAUACAUCCCACGAAGCAUCCUCAUCUCCGCUACACCCAUUUUGUGUACGUGUUGAUGCUUCACCGCCCAACAUUCUGUGCCAUACAACAUCGCUGGCCUUAUUGCCGUCCUAUAAAAUUUUCCCUUGAGCUUCAGUGGCCUACGACGGUCACACAACACGCCAGAUGCACUCUUACACUUCAUCCAUCCAGCUUGUAUUCUAUGGUUGAGAUCUCCAUCUAAUUCUCCGUUCUCUUGCAAGAUAGAUCCUAGGUAGCGAAAACGGUCAUUUUUUGUGAUCUUCGCUAGAUUGCUCCGGUCAUUAGUGUGGAUAAGUAUAUAAAUGGAUAGAGAUAGGAAAGCAAACACAAGAUGUACGUGGUUCACCCAGAUUGGCUACGUCCACGGAAUAGAGGAGUUCUCAUUAAUUGUGAACGGUUUACACAAGUACAUAGGUUCAAGCUUUCCUUUAGUGAGUACAAGUGAAUGAUUUAGUACAAAUGACAUUAGGAAAUAUUGUGGGAGAAUGAUCUCGUAACCACGAAACUUCUUAGUACUGGAGUGUGGUAUCGUCUUGACUUUCCUUAUCUGUCUCAUAGGUAGAUGUGGCAUCUUCUCUGGAAGUACUCUUCCUCCAUCCAGGGGUGGUAUCUGUAACUGAUGGAGAUGCACAAGGUAAUGUAUCAAUGUCACUUGAAGCUUACUUGUAGUUUCAGGCUUGGUCAAGCGCGAUACAAACCAUGUAGUAGGAGUCCCCCAAGUCGCCGAGCUAGGGGAUCUGCUGAAAGAGGUGACAGACAAGGUAAGCAAUCAGAGCUCCGGCUGAUUGUUCACAUUCUCCCUAUCUUGCAGGCAGCAUGAAGGAUAAAGAGAAGAAAAAUGAGAAGAUAUGAUAUGGGAUACUUUUGCUUUUGAAGAAGUAACUUUCCACAGGCUUAUUCUUGAACUGGGUUGGAGGGUUUUCUGGUUUCCUCCAGAGAUAAGGUCGACUGAAGAAUUUGAGGGUCAAAACAAGUCCAUCAAAUCUAGAGUACGUUCGACCCUGCUGAUAUGGGAUACUUUUGCUUUUGACAGAGUAAUGGAUGUAUCGGCACGUGUGCUGUUACGCUUGUCUCCACAUGCUUCCUUGUAUCCUUCUCACUUGCCCUAUCUGUUCCUCAGGCAGAUGCGGGAUCUUCCCUAGAAGCAUAAGGUGUUGAAGAUGAGUACUCGAGAGCAAUGCCAAGUAAGUAAUCAGGUAAGGGGUUCCAGGCAGUCAGUUCCUGGCUGGAAGCUUGAUUCCAAGUGCUGACUAAUUGCUCUCUUUCUCCUUGUCUUGCAGGUAAGAACAAGGCCAAAAGAAAAGACAGGGAAAAAGCAUGAUAUGGGAUACUCUUGCUUUUAACCCUGAUGAUAUGAGAUAUUCUUGCUCUAGUAUAGCUUGUUUACAGAGGUAUUAUCGGGGGGAAAGAAAGCUGAAUAUUUCGAAAGGCUUCGUUGGGAGUGCCCUCUCAGAUAAGAGGAAGGGUUGAGCAUUUUUGCAGGUCUGCCUGUCCGUUGGGGAUGGAGGUCGACAUAUAUAGGAGUCUCCCUAACAUCAAGUAAUAAUGUUAUUCCUUUACCCUGCUUGGUCAUAGCACGGUAGUGGGAGCUGCCAGCUUCACAAGUUUUAACUCUGUCAGAGCACUUUGAAAAAGUGGUCUGUGGUAUCUGGAAAGCUGAUGUUGCGUGUGAAGAUUACAGACAAGCUUUAUCCAAGGAGAUCCAGCUCUUGAAGUUGGGAAAGUGGUGCCUCUUCGGUUUUCGAACAAGCAAUCCUGUCGGGGAUCUGGCUCUCGAGAUUCGGAGAACGAUGCCUCUUCGAUUUUUGAGAAAGCAAUCCUAAUGGGGGUCUGGCUCUCGAGAUUCGGAGAGCGGUGUCUUCGAUUUUUGAGAAAGUAAUCAUGUUGGGAGUCUGGCUCUCGAGAUUCGGAGGGCGGUGAUGCCUCUUCGAUUUUUGAGAAAGCAAUCCUACUGGGGGUCUGGCUCUCGAGAUUCGGAGAACGAUGCCUCUUCAAUUUUUGAGAAAGCAAUCCUACUGGGGGUCUGGCUCUCGAGAUUCGGAGAGCGGUGUCUUCGAUUUUUGAGAAAGUAAUCAUGUUGGGAGUCUGGCUCUCGAGAUUCGGAGGGCGGUGCCUCUUCGAUUUUGGAGCAAACAAUCUUGUUGGGAGUGUUUUCUCGAAUGUGAGUAAAGGUUGGGCAUGUUUGCUAGUCUACCUUGCCACGAAGCACAGAGGUCGACACACAGGGACUUUCCAAUUAUCCAGCAGUGGUACUGUUCAUUUACCCUCUCUUCGAUUUUUGAGAAAGUAAUCAUGUUAGGAGUCUGGCUCUCGAGAUUCGGAGGGCGGUGCCUCUUCGAUUUUGGAGCAAGCAAUCUUGUUGGGAGUGUUUUCUCGAAUGUGAGUAAAGGUUGGGCAUGUUUGCUAGUCUACCUUGCCACGAAGCAUAGAGGUUGACACACAGGGACUUUCCGAUUAUCCAGCCGUGGUACUGUUCCUUUACCCUCUCUUCGAUUUUUGAGAAAGUAAUCAUGUUGGGAGUCUGGCUCUCGAGAUUCGGAGGGCGGUGCCUCUUCGAUUUUGGAGCAAGCAAUCUUGUUGGGAGUGUUUUCUCGAAUGUGAGUAAAGGUUGGGCAUGUUUGCUAGUCUACCUUGCCACGAAGCACAGAGGUUGACACACAGGGACUUUCCGAUUAUCCAGCCGUGGUACUGUUCCUUUACCCUCUCUUCGAUUUUUGAGAAAGUAAUCAUGUUGGGAGUCUGGCUCUCGAGAUUCGGAGGGCGGUGCCUCUUCGAUUUUGGAGCAAGCAAUCUUGUUGGGAGUGUUUUCUCGAAUGUGAGUAAAGGUUGGGCAUGUUUGCUAGUCUACCUUGCCACGAAGCACAGAGGUUGACACACCGGGACUUUCCAAUUAUCCAGCAGUGGUACUGUUCCUUUACCCUUGUGGGUAAUAAUAUGGUAGCUAGACCUUCAAAAUUUAUGUGUCUAAACUUUGUUAGUGUUGUUUCUUUGCUAAUCUUUUACCCUUCUUGGUCAGAGCGAUGUAGUGGGAGCUGCAAGCUUCAUGUGUCUCAACUUUGUCAGAGAACUUUGGCAAAGUUAUAUGUGGUACCCAUGAGCUACUGUUGCGUGUGGGAAGUGGGUGAUUGAACAGUACGAUUCAUGUGCUUUCUACUUCGCCAGAAAUCUUCGACAGAAUGCCCAUAAUUUCCGCAAAGCUGAGUGUGCGUGUGAUAGGUGCUAACAGGGCUAGAAAAGUAGGUGCCUCUUCGAUUUCUGAGAUCGGCCCUCAUGGUCUCUGAGCAGCCCAGCUUUUGAGAAAGCAAGCCUCUUCGAUUUCUGAGAUCAGCCUUCGUGGUCUUUGAGCAGCCCAGCUUUUGAGAAAGCAAACGCCUCUUCGAUUUCUGAGAUCGACCCUCGUGGUCUCUGAGCAGCCCAGCUUUUGAGAAAGCAAACGCCUCUUCGAUUUCUGAGCAGGCGCCUCUUCGAUUUCUGAAGCUUCAUCGAGUGCAGAUUUUUAUAGGGGCAGACAUUAAGUUCCAAAGCACACUUGAAUAUCCACCAGUAGAAGCUCCAUUCUUGCACUUCUAAGAUCUUGAUUUGUCCGACCUCUUCUCUCUUCAACACCUUUGAAAAUGUCUGGCCCCUCCGACCGUCGUUUUGACUUGAACCUUGUUGAAGAGGUAGCCCUGCCUUCUCCAGACAACAUAUGGCGCCCAUCCUUCGUCUCCCCUACUGGUCCUCUUACCGUUGGGGAUUCCGUGAUGAAGAAUGAUAUGACCGCUGCGGUAGUGGCCAGGAACCUUCUCACUCCCAAAGAUAACAGACUACUUUCCAAACGGUCUGAUGAGUUGGCUGUUAAGGAUUCUCUGGCUCUUAGUGUUUAGUGUGCAGGUUCUGUGUCUAAUAUGGCCCAACGCCUAUUUGCUCGAACCCGCCAAGUUGAAUCAUUGGCGGCUGAAGUGAUGAGUCUCAAACAGGAGAUUAGAGGGCUCAAGCAUGAGAAUAAACAGUUGCACCGGCUCGCACAUGACUAUGCUACAAACAUGAAGAGGAAGCUUGACCAGAUGAAGGAAUCUGAUGGUCAGAUUUUACUUGAUCAUCAGAGAUUUAUGGGUUUGUUCCAAAGGCAUUUAUUGCCUUCGUCUUCUGGGGCUGUACCGCGUAAUGAAGCUCCAAAUGAUCAACCUCUGAUGCCUCCUCCUUCUAGGGUUCUGUCCAGUACUGAGGCUCCGAAUCAUCCCCCUCCGGUGCCUUCUCUUUCUGGGGCUCUACCGACUGCUGAGACUUCUCCUAAGCAACCUUUGUGAAGGCUCCCUCUUGUUUGUUUAUUUUGACUCAAGUAUAUGUACAUAUUUGUAACUUAUCGGGGAUAUCAAUAAAUAAGCUUUCCUUCAUUUCAACGUAUUGUGUUAAAUACACCCAAAGCCUUCUUCGCUAAGUUCUUUGAAUUCUCUUUUUGUUGAAGCUUGUAUGUUGAAGCUUUGUGAGUGGAGCAUAUAGGUUGAGGUAGUGUUCCCUUAAUUUCCCGAGUGAGGAAAACUUCUCGGUUGGAGACUUGGAAAAUCCAAGUCACUGAGUGGGAUCGGCUAUAUGAAUCUUAGAACGCCAUUGUGUUCUGUCCUGUGUCAUGUCCUCCGUUAGAUCCAAGUACUCUAAGUCUUUUCUUAGGGUCUCUUCCAAAGUUUUCCUAGGUCUUCCUCUACCCCUUCGGCCCUGAACCUCUGUCCCAUAGUCGCAUCUUCUAAUCGGAGCGUCAGUAGGCCUUCUUUGCACAUGUCCAAACCACCGUAACCGAUUUUCUCUCAUCUUUCCUUCAAUUUCGGCUACUCCUACUUUACCCCGGAUAUCCUCAUUCCUAAAUCUUAUCCUUUCUCGUGUGCCCACACAUCCAACGAAGCAUCCUCAUCUCCGCUACACCCAUUUUGUGUACGUGUUGAUGCUUCACCGCCCAACAUUCUGUGCCAUACAGCAUCGCCGGCCUUAUUGCCGUCCUAUAAAAUUUUCCCUUGAGCUUCAGUGGCAUACGGCGGUCACACAACACGCCGGAUGCACUCUUCCACUUCAUCCAUCCAGCUUGUAUUAUAUGGUUGAGAUCUCCAUCUAAUUCUCCGUUCUUUUGCAAGAUAGAUCCUAGGUAACGAAAACGGUCGCUCUUUGGUAUUUCUUGAUCUCCGAUCCUCACCCCUAACUCGUUUUGGCCUCCAUUUGCACUGAACUUGCACUCCAUAUAUAUUCUGUCUUUGAUCGGCUUAGGCGAAGACCUUUAGAUUCCAACACUUCUCUCCAAAGGUUAAGCUUUACAUUUACCCCUUCCUGAGUUUCAUCUAUCAACACUAUAUCGUCUGCGAAAAGCAUACACCAAGGAAUAUCAUCUUGAAUAUGUCCUGUUAACUCAUCCAUUACCAACGCAAAAAGGUAAGGACUUAAGGAUGAGCCUUGAUGUAAUCCUACAGUUAUGGGGAAGCUUUCGGUUUGUCCUUCAUGAGUUCUUACGGCAGUCUUUGCUCCUUCAUACAUAUCCUGUAUAGCUUGGAUAUAUGCUACUCGUACUCAUUUCUUCUCUAAAAUCCUCCAAAGAAUGUCUCUUGGGACCCUAUCAUACGCUUUUUCCAAAUCUAUAAAGACCAUGUGUAAAUCAUUUUUCCCAUCUCUAUAUCUUUCCAUCAAUCUUCGUAAGAGAUAGAUUGCCUCCAUGGUUGAGCGCCCUGGCAUGAACCCGAAUUGGUUGUCUGAAACCCGUGUCUCUUGCCUCAAUCUAUGCUCAAUGACUCUCUCCCAGAGCUUCAUUGUAUGACUCAUUAGCUUAAUACCCCUAUAGUUCAUGCAAUUUUGUACAUCACCCUUAUUCUUGUAGAUAGGCACCAAAGUGCUCGUUCGCCACUCAUUUGGCAUCUUCUUCGUUUUCAAAAUCCUAUUGAAAAGGUCAGUGAGCCAUGUUAUACCUGUCUCUCCCAAAACUUUCCACACUUCGAUUGGUAUAUCGUCUGGGCCUACUGCUUUUCUAUGCUUCAUCUUCUUCAAAGCUACAACCACUUCUUACAUUUAAAUAAUUAGUCUGAGAAAUAAAGUUUUAUGAGGGUGUCGAGCCCACAUUGUAGCUGUAGUUUUACUGAUCGAAAUCACAGAAGUACAGAACCUCUUUCUAUUCUGGAGCCGACUGAAAAUGUCGUGCUUAACAUAACACUGUUGUUCCUUUCUCUCCUCUCUCUUCAGCUUCCCUUCGUUAUUUUUUAUUUCCUUUUGAGAUAAAACAAUCAAACCUCAAACAAAGAUAAUUCUUCAGUGGAUGAUGAUGAGGUCUGCUUACUGCUCCUCUUUUCAUGUUUCUUGGGUUUUGUUUUGCUUGAUUGGUGUGUUCUCAACAAAUUAGUCCGGAUUGGUUUUGUUGGUAGGUUCAGAUUUCAUCAUUUCUACAGCUAACAAAACCAAUCAAGAAAUGUUAAUCUAACAAAACCAACCACGGACACGUUAACAGAAAAAAGACGGAAAUGUUAAUAGGGUAAUCUAGAAAAAAGACGGAGUGGGUUAACAGAGAUGUUAAUUUUGGGCUUAAAUCCUAACGGAACUUCACCACGAGGGUCUAAAUCCGAAUUUUUUCACCAUGGGGGUUAUCUUCCUAUUAACCUAUCACCAUGGGGACCAUUAAUCAAAUUUAGCCUAAAUUUUUAAUUAAUGGACCAAAACUCUAAUUCCACUAAAACUUAGGGACCAAUCCAAAUUUGCUUUUAAAAAUAAAAAUUUCUAGUUACCCUAUAUCUUCUUUUUGAAGUCCUAAUCCUUCUUGAAAAAUAAUCCCCCACGCAUUAAUUAAGCAUAGUAAUCAUCUAUUCUAUUUUCUGAUUUAGCACUACAACAAGUUAGUUUACACUAACUUUAUAUAAUAUAUCGAUUUUGGGUUUGUAAUUGAACAUUAAAGUUUCAUGUUCACCCCAAAAUGGCCUGGCAUAAGCAUUCAUUGAACGCUUCAAUUGAUCGCUUGGUCAUUGGUCAUACGUACCAAACUCUCAACCCUUACCUGGGACAAUGCACUACUUUAGCUAUGUUAGUCCACAUGAUGCUCAUGUCACCCAAUCCUAUUUGAGCAUUACAGUUGGUAACUGGGUACAAACCUGAAGUUUUGUACUUACGUGUCUUGGGUGGACACUUUAUGUGCUAAUUGAGCCGUUGCAAUGUACCAUUAUAGGUCCUCACAAAGGGAUAUGAAUCAAUGUCAAUUUUGAUUCUCGUAAGCCCUUACAAGCGAUUAUGUCACUUCAAUUAGAACGUCACACAUUCUUGAAGAAUGAAGCGAAUUAUUAUGGACGUCCCCACUAUGUCUCAUCUCAAUCCCUAAUCUAGAUCAUUGAUGCGAAAAUUAACUUAACACACAAAUUUAACCAUCUUUUGACAAUUGUAGUAUAAGUAUAAGUAGGGAUCGUUCUGGACCGAUGAUUAGGAGGACUUGCUAAUAACCUCUAAACUGACUCAAAAACAUAAAACUAAACUUAAAAACACUUAACAAGAUUCACAAGACUCAAAGCAAACUUAAAAUACUCAAAACAGCUUAAAACAAUCAAAUAAACUUAAACUAGACACUAGGAAUGACUUUGGACGAAAAUUGACUUUUACUUGAAUCAAAACACUUAAAAACACAAACUAAAACAGAUUUGAAACACUUUGAAACAAGAAACUAAAAAGGGGGUUUUGAUUUGGAUGAAGUUGUAACAAACAAACAAGUAUGAAAAACUAGACAGAUUGUAAAACGAAUGUAAGAAAUAAGAUGAUGGAUAGGAUAGCUAGAGGCUUUUUCUCCACACAUGAUAUGUAUGCAAAUAAUUCGAUUUCCAGUUGCUACUUCAUUGAAUUAUGAACGACAAUGCUCCAAAUUAACCGUGACAUCACUAAUUAACUCUCAGAUUUUCCUUGUUUUAUUGGAUUGGAUGACAUCAUUUGACAACCCAAAACAUUCUUCAAAAGUUCCCUACAUGACAUCAUAAUAGAGAUACAAUCAAAUAUCAUUACGUUUAAUGAAAAUCAUAAGCAUUGACAAAGCACUUGCAACUAUGACAUCAUGUCACUCAUGCUAGGAAUUGAACUUAACGCGAUCGUUUAUAAGCGACCUUCACUACAUGUGAAUAUAAGUUUGUAACGAUUAUGUGAAACUUCCUUAUACUCUAGCAACGGAUUUAUGCAUGCCAAUUAAGUGUCAACCCUUAAUUAAAAAAUACAAAUAAGUUAUCAAUCAAAUAGUUAAGCCAAUUGCAUUCAUGAUUCAAGAGUUUAUAACUGGAAUUUAUCAAAUCAUAUUACACACAUAAUCAUGGCUUUGAAAUCACCCCUAACUAAGAGGGGUUUAGCCACUCAUAUUCAUAACAAUACGAAAGAAAAUGAAUUUAAACAUUGGAAACAAAAGAAAGAAAACACAUAAACGUUCCAACGAUCCAAGUUGGACAGCAAGCAUGUCCAAACACUUUCCUUCCCUUCCUUUGCUACGGCACAAGGUGUUGGUGAGUGUUUGAAGGUUUGUUUGUAUGGAAGAAUGGAUGUAAAGAUGAAUGGAUGUGUUUGGAUAAAGGUUGUAUCGAAAUGGGGAUCAAUAAUCAAGCAAAAACUGAACUAUAUGGCUGCCACACACACUUCCUUUUAUAGAGGAAGUGCACGGCAAUGGAGGGAAAUUGGUGGUGUGUGCAAUGAUUCAAGGAUGAAAAUGAAGUAAUGAUGCAAAGCAUGGGGGGUAAAAUGGAGUGGUGUUGCAGCAAUAAGUGCAUGAAGUGGUGAUUGAAAUGAUUCAAAGGUGAAAGUGAAGUGAUGAUGCAAAGCAUGGGGGGUAAAAUGGAGUGAUGUUGCAGCUAUGAAUGCAAGUAGGGAACAUGAAUGAUUGUGCACAUGGUAUAGAAAAGAAAGGGAGGUGGAAUGAUGCAGAAAUGAGUCAAAGGUGCAGCAAGACUCAUGAUGCACGACAUAGGAUUCCAAAUAUGGUGGAUGGUGCAUCAAUGAGUGCAUGUAGUGGAGGUAAAGGUUGUAUGAAAUCUGAUGGGUGAAGGGGACAAGGAAUGUGCAGCAAUUGAGUACAAUGAUUCAAUGUUUUGGUGCAUGAAAUCAGAAAUAAUGAAGGAGACAAGGGUGGUGCACGGCAUAGAUGGAUAAUGAGUGUAAUGGUGCAUGAAAUGAGUGCAGGAAAUCUAGUGCAUGAAGGGGACAAGGGUGAUUAUGCAUGACAUGGGUGGAAAGGUGAGUAAAUGGUGAAUCAAUGAGUGCAAGGAGGUGAAAGGAUAUUAUGUACAUGGAAAGGAAGUGGAAUGGUGCAGCAAAUGAGUGCAAUGAGGGAACAUGGAUGAAUGUGCACGGCAUGGGUGGUAAAAUGAAGUGAUUUAUGGCAAAAAAUAGGAAAUGAAUGGCUCCCUUGCACGGCAAGGAAGAGAAUGGUGAAGGAUGGUAUGGCUUGGACUUUUAGGGCAGGUUUAGGACUUGUAGAAUAUGUAAUGAAAUGUCCCAAAGUAUUUAGGAACCCUUCGUGUGACCAAAUCUUUGGUAAUUUAGGAUUAGGAAAGAUAACGACAAGAUAAGGCAAGUUUGACUAGUCUUUCCUUAUUCUUAAUGGUUUCCUUGUCUUCCUUGGUCCUCAAUUUAUUUUCUUCCUUUCCUUGGCACAUUCCUAGCUUCUUUAGAUCUUUAAUUUUGUCCAACCACUUUGCUCUAUGCAUGUGAUAUCCAUUCCAUGCCCAAAACUACUCCAAAAGACACCAAAAUGCACUUCUUUGCCUCUUUAACCCUUUGUACCUACAACCACAUGAAAAUGGCUUGAAAUACUAAAUCAACUAAGAAAUAACAACAUAAAUGCACAAGAACAAGCUAACUAAGUCGCAUAUGCUCCUAUCAAUCAUCAGAGUGGUACCAGACGCUUUAUCUAAUCUAGUAAAUGUGACAAGAUCACAUAUACUAGCUGCAAACAUGUUUGCAAUGAUUUAUGUAUCUAGGUAGGCCGCUUCGCCUAGUGGUCGGCCUAGUAUAUCGGCGGCUAGCCAAUCAAUUUGUUGUCUGCCUAAAGUGCGAUAGAUCACUUGGUUUGAAGGAUUCACCUUAUCAGAAGUGGAGGAAUAUGGCACAAACAAAUCCCUCCUUAGAUUGUUGUCUCAAUCAUUUCCAUCUCAUGAGACUAAAUCUGGAUUACUCCCGAGGCUUGAAGUUCUUGGUCCAGCAUACUAGUUUGGAUGAGAUAUAGAAUUGGCAUGAGAUUAUCAUCAAUGGUGUUUCAAUUAUAUGGUACCUACCGACAUAAAUGAAAAGUAAGGAUAUCGAACCACAUUUCGUUGAUUACUAAUAAUGUAGAAUUGAAUGGUCAAUUAGAAAUAAACAAAAUAUGUCGAAGGAGAUAAAUGAAAUAAUGUGAUAUAACCCUGAAGACUUCUCUCAUACGCCAUGUGAUUGAUUGUAGCAUAUAAACGUCGUUGUAACGUAUCUUUGAAAUCAUGAUACAAAAUAUACAUGGAAGUUUUAGAAUGACUUACAUGUACUUAUUUAAAUAAGUUCUAGACCAUAGAACACCCUUUCAGUUUAGAUGAGGCUUUCACUUUACGGAUGCAGAACAAUCCGGGCAAAUGUGGUAUACUCGUCUAAGUGAAUAUUUGAUCAGUUAGGGAUAUUGCCUCAGCAUGUACAAAAUCCAAAAUUGCUAGAAUUGCAGUUUAUGUCAAUGACAUGAAUCUUACUAAGACUCUGGAAAAGCUUAAGAAAACUGACUCGUAACUGAAGUCGGACUUUGAGAUGAAUAAUCUUGGGAAAACUCGACGCUACCUCAACUUGAAGUUUCGAGCAUGGUUUUGAUAGUAUUAUGGUCCACUAGUCGAACUAGACCCAAAAGGGGUUGCUUCUGAGUAUAAUCUUGAUCAUCUAUACAUUAGAUGCAAAUGAGACCUUUACGGAGGUUAUGGAGCAUAAGGGUUCAUAUCAAAACAUGUAACACCAUAUUUGAGUGCAAUUGGCGUGUAUUGUACUUAGCUCAAUGAACUAGAUUGGACAUCUCAAAUGCUGAUAAUUUUUUGGCAAAAAGCACCACUGCGCUUACACGCCACCACCAAAUUAGGUGUUAAUGACGUUUUUCUGUUACUACGGAUUUGGGCUUACUCUAUCAUUAUGCAUCUCAGAAUAUAUCACACCCCCUUGAUCUUCGGCAUGAUACCUACAAUGUGGGAAUCGAAAUUAGAAUCUUUGUCUGAUCCGCACAACGUACUUUCCCAAAUGGUUAUGUCUUUACUGUUAAGGAACACUGCAACAUUUUGGAGGUCAACCAGAUAGACCUUAGUUGUGAAAUCUUUGAAUUGUUCCAAGACUCAUUGUAUAUCAUCACGUGAGAGAUAUAGUUGAGAACUCUUGUUGAGCAUAUUCGAAUUCCCUACAAUUUUCAUCUAUCGUUGAGUCCCAACAACGAUCCAUGAAGAUAAUGACAUAUGUAUCGAUCAGAUCAUGAUACAUCCAACAUGUCAACGCCAAGCAUAUUGUACCUACAUCAGUAUGAGCAUUAUAAGAUUGAAGUUAAGCAGUUCGAUCCCAGACAACCUUGCCGACCUCUGCACGGAUUCACUGUCGAAGUAUACCUUCCAGAUGCUUGUUUGAGGAAUUGGUAUGCGUGACUUUCGCAUUUGUAAUGCUUGCAGUUUUAUUUGGAAAUUCUAUCAAAUUGAGAGGGAGUAUACAUAAGUAUACUCACUUGACCUUAAUUUACUUUUUUUUUCCUAUGCUUAGGAGCACUUUUCCCAUUGGAUUUUUACUACCAAACUAGAUUUUGACGUGGUACUCAUCUUGGGCUGGUCAUACCCUUGUGUACAUUCUACUUGCAUCCUGAGGACUUAUAGUUUUGACUUAAUGCAACUUCUCAAUUUUCUCCUUUGACUAUGGGUUUCUAUCCCACCUUAGGUUUUGCUAUAACAAGGUUUUGUGAGUUUUACCACCUAUGCAUUCUUCUGUUUGUUUUGAGACUCGCAUUCGCUAAUUGUGCCAACUAGACGAGACGACUUCAUCAAUUGUUCUACAUUUUCCUGAAAAUGUGACGUGUCAUUGAUGAGUAGAUUUUAUAUUAUAUAUUUUACCCUAUUCUUUAGUAUAUUUUGAAAGAAUUUUGAUACUUUGAAUUGUAUUUUCAAUAUAGGACUUCCGAGUUCUUAUGGAGCAAAACAUGACCAAAUGGAUGAAUUUUGGAGUAAUUCCAGUUGGAGGACGUUUGUAAGUCACUUAGCUUGAUCUCAAAAUUUGGGAUUUUUCCACCAAGUGGUUAUUUUCUGGCAAUAAAAUAAAAGAGUGAUGCGUUGUGCUGGAAAAUGACAUUUUUAGGCUUAAAUUGCGUUUUUGGAGCCCAAGAUGAUCUCGAAUGGUUUCGUGGCCUUCUGGAGAUGUGUUUGGAACGUCCUAAUCUUUAACAUAAGCUAUCUUGGGCCGGAUUUGGAGGAGAUCUGAGGCUAAAACGUGGUUGGACAAGUACUUGGCAGAUUCUCCUAGUUUAAUUAGGGUUUUAUUUUCUAAGAUAUUUUAUUAUUCUUCUUAGUUUCCUAAUUGGAAUAAGAGAUAUGUUUUAGGAUUUGUGCCAUGGCUUAGCAAAUAUAUUGCUUUACCAUUCUUAGUUUUUUUUUUGCUACGCUUUCUUUUAUGCAACUUUGGAGAUAGAGAGCAAUUGCUAAGGUUUUUGGAGAUUUUCUACUUUAAGGUGUUUUCAUUCUUUUUAUUUUUCAUAAUAUUUCCUAUAAUUUCAAUUAUGAAUAUCUGUAACUAAUUUCUUUUGCUAGGGCGAAGCCUUGAGCCUUAGUAUGAAUAUGUGUUUUUUAUUUAAUUGCUUAUGAUUGAUUGCAUGCACACUUUGAAUUAUUAAUCACUGGUUUAAACUAUCUAACUUUCUUAAUCCCUGAUCACCAUUAGGAUCUUUAGAAAAGUAAUUUGAUGCAAUUUUGGUCAGAAGGUUCCCUGAAAUUGACGCUGGCUUCAUGUGGUUAAUAAUUGUAAUUUCACUUAAGAUGAACACCAUGUCUUAAGGAUUGCAUGGUUUUUUCAAAAGUUUUUCAUAGUGCAUAAUUAGUCUUUCAUGUUCAGAUUUAAUCCAAACGUCCAGACGGGUUGCAUGUUAGAUAUACGUUCUAUGUUGGAGGUUCCAAGUAGAAUAUGAAUUAGGAAAAUCUAACCUUCAAAGUGGCAUGCGUAGAUCAUAAGUAAUUGGUAAAAAUUCAUAGGAUUGCUAAGUGAUGGUGGAACCCUAAUGCUUUCUUAAUUUGAUUUCUCCAAAACUUUUCUUUUUCUUUCGGCUUUAAUAUUGCAGGUUGUUUUACUUUUAUUAAUAAAAUUCGUUUUAAUAAAUUAGGUUAUAAAAAUCAAUCAUCUCAAUUUUUACUUUACAAUAAUUAAUUGGAAUUUGGUUGUUUCGAAUUAUUUAAUAAUCCAUGUGGAGAACGACCUUACAAGAUCCCUUUAUACUACAGUAACCUUAUCAUUCUUGCAAGUAAUAUAGGAGUUUUUAACCCAUUUGCAUGUGUGGUGAAAUCCCUAUCGGUCAUCCUAGUGGGCAGGCGAAGGGGAAGUCCUCGAGGAUGGAUGGAGAAUCAGUUUCUUCACCGAUUGAAUUUGGAGCUAAUGGUGUUGAUUCGUCCAGAUCUGGUAAGAGAAGUCGUGGAAUUGAUGGACCGAAUUUGGAUGCUGAACGUGACAUGGCUGCUCUGCACCUGGAGCCUAAUGUGAGUUUCAAAGACAAGCUUAUGAAAUCAUCUCGGCGACUUGUCUCGGUUGCUAUCUGAUUUUGAUUUUGAUCCUGAUCUCGUUGACGGGGACGUGUCAUUCUCUCGUGAGGUGAAAGGGCCUAUCGUUACAUUCUCUGAAAAAGCUGUGACGAAAUUUGGUAAGGAUUGGCAUGAUGCUCUGGUCAUCAAACUUCUUGGGCGAUCGCACACUUAUAAUUUUUUGUUAAACAGGCUGAGGCAAAAAUGGCAAUUAAAAGGAGGUAUGCAGCUUAUUGACAUUGAUCAUGAUUUUUAUAUUGUUAAAUUUGAUUUGGAAGAGGAUAAGGAGUUUGUUUUAACUGGUGGACCUUGGAUAAUUGCGGGUCAGUAUUUGACGAUUCAAAAAUGGAGACCAGGAUUUGUGCCUGCAACUGAGGUUAUGACUCGUAUGGCUGUAUGGGUCAGGAUAAUGGGUGUUCCAAUUGAGUAUUUUAAUGUUUGGGCUAUGAGGAAGAUAGGUAGUGUGCUGGGAAAACUGUUAAAGAUUGAUGUACACACUAAUUCUCAAUACAGGGGCAAAUUUGCUAGAAUUUGUGUUGAGAUUGAUGUGACUAAGCCUCUUGAAGCGUUUAUUCAAAUUAAUGAUAGAUGGUACAAUUUGGAGUAUGAGGGUAUGCCAGAAAUUUGUUUUGGAUGUGGUCGUUAUGGGCAUAAGAGGGAGAGCUGUACUUGGAGCGUUGAUCCUAUGGCGGAAAAGGUUGAUGGUGGUGAAAAUGAGAGUAAUAUGAUGAAUAUGGAUGAGCCUAUAGUAAAGGCUGCUCAAAGUAGCGAUGAUGUUUCUGCUAUUCAUGGUAAUUGGAUGCAAGUUAAGCCUAGAGGUAGACCUCGGAAAAUAAAUAAUGGACAGAGAGGUGUUGAUGGUGCUUUUAAUGGGCAGGGGUCAAGGUUCAGUGUGCUCAAUGGGGAAGAUAAAAGUCUGAAUGAGGGAAAUGUGGGAAGUGGCACAGAUGGUGAGAAGGGUGAAGGUUCUAUUGAAAGGAAAAUUUGGGGGGUUAGGAAGAAGAAGGAAGCUAGUGAUCGGGAUGCACUUGCUGAUAUAUCUAACUGUGGUGGAAAGCCAUCUACGCAUAAUUUGGGGCAACUAAGACAACCUUUAGUGAGAAGGUCAAGUUCUAGUUCGAUUAGUAAUGUUGAGGAUCAGCCGUUCAAAUUUAAUGUUAAUGCCUUCAAGACUGAUAUGUACUAUGGUUCAAAUAUGUCGAAGGGAACCUAUAUUUUUGGUCACCAACCAUCUAAUGCUAGUGGUAGCGAUGUUGAGUUAGCUGCGUGUGAUCUAGAUCCAGGUGAAGAGAUGAUGAAUACUGAUCAUACUAUUCCAGGUUCAAUUAUUCAACGAUCUCGUUCAACCGAGGAUUAUUGUUUAGCUAAGUCUGCUGAGAGGUGUGCCUCCCAUGUGGAGGAAACCCUUAUGGGUUGCUAGGCUGUAUGCCUUGGUUUUAUCUUUCUCAUCCAUCUUUAUGAUGAAUAUUGUAGUAUGGAACUCUAGAGGUGCUAGUUGCACCAAGUUUAAAGAUAAUGUUGCAGAAUUAAUUAACAUUCACCAAAUGGAGAUUUUGGUUAUUUGUGAGCCCAGGAUUAGUGGUCAGAAAGCUAUUUCAGUUGUGAAAUCUCUUGGUUUUCCGUGCUUUGAGAUUGUGGAUGCUGUUGGCUUCUCUGGUGGUUUGUGGAUGUUGUGGAAGGAUUCUAGAUUAAAGGUGGAAGUUAUCGGUACCACUGACCAAGCUAUUUCUGUUGUUGUGGAUGGUGUUGGUCAGAACCAUUGGAUUUUCACCGCUGUCUAUGCUAGCCCUUGUGUUACUAAAAGAGAAAGAUUGUGGGAUUAUUUAGAUUUUGUAGCUGAUUGUCAUCAAUUGCCUUGGUUAAUUGCUGGGGAUUUCAAUGACAUGUUGUGUGUGGAUGAUAAACUUGGUGGUGCUCCAUUAUGCAGAUUAAAAGGCUUCAAAUCCUGGGUGGAUAGGAAUUAUAUGAUUGAUUUGGGUUUUAUUGGUCCUAAAUUUACUUGGACUAAUAAAAAAAGUGUUAGAAAGAAUUGAUCGUGGGAUUUGUAAUAUGAGUUGGAGGAGCCUUUUCCCUGAAGCUUAUGUUCACCAUCUCCCGCGAACCAAGUCAGAUCACUGCCCUAUUAAGAUAUGCUUAAAUUCUCAUAAGUCAUUUUCUCCCAAUCAUCGUCCUUUUCGUUUUGAAGCUAUGUGGUUGAGGCAUGAAAAUUUUAAGGAGUUUGUUGAUGGUUAUUGGAGUAAUGGUGGAGGUUCGGUUGUUGAUAAAACUUGUGCUCUUAUUGAACCGCUUAAGAAGUGGAAUAUUCAAGUCUUUGGUCAUCUCAAACAGAGAAAGCGCAAACUUCUAGCAAGAAUUGAUGGGAUUCAAAAAGCUUUGUGUCGUGGGCCUAAUAAAUUUCUUUCUAAAUUGGAGGAUGAGUUGAUUUCUGAUUAUAAUGAAGUUCUAAAUGAGGAGGCUAUAUUUUGGCAUCAAAAGUCUCGGUUGAGGUGGCUUCAAGAAGGUGAUCGUAAUACAAAAAUUUUUCAUCUCACUACUAUUGUAAGAAGGAGAAGAAAUAGAAUUGAGGGCCUCAUUAACAAUCAAGGUGCUUGGAUAUCGGAGUCUUCUAAUAUGAAAAAGUUGGCAGUUGAGUACUUUCAAACUAUUUUUUCGCAUGGGCAAAAGUCUAAGCAAAUGGAAUGUCUUCCUAAUCUUUUUCCUGAUAUUAAUGUUGCUGUUCGUGAAGCUCUUACCAAAGAUAUUGAUAUGGUUGAAGUCAAGGAAAGCCUCUUUAAUAUUGGAGGCCUUAAAGCUCCAGGUAUUGAUGGGUUUCCUGCUUGCUUUUAUCAAAGUCAGUGGAAUAUAUGUGCUAAUGAUAUCUUUGAUAUGGUAUGGAAUGCUUUUCACUCAAGGAGAUUGCCUGCUGGGUUAAACAGUACGCUGAUUACAUUGGUCCCUAAAAUUGAUAAUCCUCAAAAGAUGUUGAAUUUUAGGCCUAUUAGUCUCUGUUGCACUCUUUAUAAAGUGAUCUCUAAAAUCAUUGUUGCUAGAAUCAGACCUCUCUUGCCUCAUCUAAUUAGUCCUAAUCAGGCUAGUUUUGUUCCUGGUAGACAAAUUUCUGACAAUGUCCUCAUUGCUCAAGAAAUUCUUCACAAGUUCAGAAUGUCAAAAGGCCAAAAAGGAUUUUUAGCCUGGAAAAUUGAUCUCUCUAAGGCGUAUGACAGACUUAAUUGGAAGUUUAUUGAGUAUGUGCUGAAUGAGGUUGGGUUGCCUUCGAAUUUGAUUCAGCUUAUGAUGGAAUGUGUAUCCACAGUUAGGUACCAAAUUUGUUUCAAUGGUGAAUUAACAGAUGGUUUUAUUCCUCAAAACGGUAUUCGGCAAGGGGAUCCUUUGUCCCCUUAUUUGUUUGUUCUAUGUAUUGAGAAACUCUCCCAUUUAAUUUCUGCAACUGUGAACAAAGGAAGGUGGAAACCUGUUAAGGCUUCUCAAUCUGGACCUAGGGUAUCUCAUCUCUUUUUCGCUGAUGAUUUAAUGUUGUUUUCUGAAGCUACUCCUAAGCAAGCAAGAGUAAUGAAGAGGUGCCUUGAACAAUUUUGCAAAGCUUCUGGUCAAGCUGUUAACUUUGAAAAAUCUGUUCUUUAUUAUUCUCCAAACACGUCAAGGGCUUGUGUUAAGAGUAUUAGUACAAUUUGUGGGUCUCCUGUCUCUGAGAGUCUUGGGAAUUAUUUAGGAAUGCCUCUAAUUCAGACUAGAGUUUCAAAGGUUACUUAUUUGGGCGUUAUUGAUAAAGUUCAGAAGAGGUUGGCAACUUGGAAGAGCAAGGUAUUGUCCAUGGCUGGAAGAAUUACCUUAAUUCAAGCUGUUACCUCGUCCAUACCAGUUUAUGCCAUGCAAACGACCAAGCUUCCGGCCAGUGUGUGUGAAGAGUUAGACAAGGUGAAUAGGGAUUUUUUGUGGGGGGAUACCGAUCAAAAGAAAAAAGUCCAUUUGUGCCAAUGGAGUAUGGUUUGCAAACCUAAAAGUAAGGGUGGUUUGGGGAUUAAGAGAGCUUGUGUAAUGAAUCAGGCUCUUUUAGCUAAGUUAGGGUGGAGGAUUCAUGCUAAGGACUUUGGUCUUUGGUCUCAAAUUUAUCAGGCUAAGUAUUUGAAAGGCUAUUCUAUUUUAGACCCCAAAAUUCAUGAAAGAACUGAGUGUUCUUAUUCUUGGAAAGGAAUUUUGUAUGGAGUUAAUCUUCUUAAAAAGGGCAUGACUUGGAGAAUUGGCAAUGGUGAGAGUGUGAAAUUUUGGAAGGAUUCAUGGGUCUUAAAUGUCCCUUUAAUGGAAACUAUUGAUGUUGCUAAUAUCUCCAAUAUUGAUUGUGUUGUCUCUGAAUUUUUUAAGAAAUGGUUGGUGGGAUAUUGAUAAGCUCAGAGAUGUGUUGCCAGAGGAUAUGGUUCAAAAAAUUAUAUGUCGGCCUGCUGGUACUACUGGUGCAGGUAUGGAUAAAAUUAUUUGGAGAUGUGCUUCUAAUGGAGUUUUCACCGUUAAGUCAGCUUAUAAUCUUUUCUUUGAUGAAGAGGAUUUGCCUGAUUCAUGCUGGGAUUUUAUUUGGAGAGUUAAUGUUCCACCGAAGCUAAAAGUUUUUCUUUGGUUGAUGAGUAAAGGGAGAUUGCUUUCUAAUGAGCAACGAGUUAGAAGACAAUUAACUUCUGAUUCUUCUUGUAUGACUUGUUGUGGACCAAUUGAAUCCAUUGCUCAUAUUUUUAAAGAUUGUUCCAGGGCUAUGUGUAUCUGGAAAAGUAUGGGAGUUCCAUGGCAACUGAGGAAUGCCCAGAAUCUUGAGUUUAAGGCUUGGUUGCUGGCAAAUCUGAAAGUAAGUUCAAAAGGGACCAAUGAGGGUGCUUGGUGUACUCUUUUCCUUUUUAUUUGUUGGCAUAUUUGGAAGUGGAGAAACAAGCAGAUUUUUGAUGUCAAUUUUGUCAUGCCUAUGUAUCCAAAAGCGAUCAUUGAGAGAGAUGUGGAUGAAUGGUUGAAGGCUUGUGUGAAGUAUUCUGUCAAACUUGUAAAAAGGCAAAUUUCUCUCUCUCUUGGGAUCAUCCUGAUGUAGGUUGGUGUAAGCUAAAUGUGGAUGGGUCUAGAAGGACAAAUUCUGGUCGAAUUGGGGCUGGUGGCGUUCUAAGAGAUCAUAAUGGCAACUGGUUAGGUGGCUUUGCUGUGAAUUUGGGACAAGGGCAGGUUUGUGAUGCUGAAUUAUGGAGUUUAUACUUUGGUUUACAGCUUGCUAUUGAUAAGGGUGCUACUGAGCUUCAUAUUGAGAUGGAUUCCAAGGCUGUUAUUAUGUUGUUGAAGCAAUCCCAAGUUGAUAAUUUCCAUCCUUUGGAGACAAUUAUGCAUAGCUGCAGAUUAAUGAUGAGACAAUUGAGGAGGUGUGAAUUGAAUCACGUUUAUAGAGAGAAGAAUAUUGUGGCGGAUCAGUUGGCUAAUUGGAGUUAUAACAUGGAUAUUGGUGUUCUUGUUUUUGAUGAGCCUCCUGUGUGGAUUAGAUCAGCUCUCAUUGAUGAUGCUGCUGGAGUCCCUCGGACUCGGUUUGCUGUUGGUUUGUAGUUCUUUUUGGGUUGUGUUCCCCGUUCUUCACCAAAAAAAAAAAUCCCUAUCGGUCAUCUACUUGUGUAUUUGCACAAUCAAGGGGGAGCAUGAUAUACAUUCUAAUACAUAUUGUGAUUAUGUAAAUCCUAAGUAUAGAUAGAUUAGGAAUUCUUUGGGAUCUAGAAGAUCUUUGCCAAUAGACUUUGUAUUACUUGGAGAUCAAAUUUCUCUCCUCCUUAUUACUAUAAAUAAAGGCACAAUGACUGGAGAAUAACACAUAAUUUCUCAAGCCCAAUCGCCACUCUCUUUGUCUCUAUGUCGUGCCCCUUUAUUCUCCCUCAGUUAGAUAUAGACCACAACAAAGUAGAGAUAAAUCUAUGUUUUCAAGAGGUUCAACUUCGCAAUAAAUUGUAAGAACCAAUUGCUUGAAAGUUUCUCUACUUUAUAAGAAGCGUGAACAUAUUACAUGGAAGUUUCUCUUUAAAAACUCAUAACUCAUAACUCAUUUAAAGGCCCAAGAGUCAACCUUCCCAACUAGGAAAUUAAAUUAUACUUCUGCCACUCACUUUCCUAUCCAUUCAAAAUUCGGCGCGUAUUGUAUAUUUCAACGUCCAAUUUGGAUUCCACAGAAACCACGUGGGUGUUUCGCACUCCUUUCUCACACCCUUCCCUCAACACUCCUAUAUAACCUUCUACCCACACCUCUUUCCUAUCAACGGCUCUCACAAUUCUCCUAACCUAACACAAGCUGUUCAUCAAACACUUACGCGCACUCUUCAUCCACCAUGGCAGCCAAUUCCCGGACGCUUGAAAUCAAGGUGAUCUCCGCCGAGAACCUGAAAUUAGAUCGAAAAUCCAUCAAGAAAAACGCCUCCGUGACCGUCCGGACCGACACCAACAGCCAGUUUUGCACUACGGACAUUGACACCGAAGGCGGCGCCCACCCACGGUGGAACGAGAAGCUCGUGCUCGACUUGCCAACGCACUCGAAGUCCAUCACAGUGGAGGUCCAUUGCAAGACUUCGUCCGGCGUCAGGACGAUCGGGACGGCAACGGUUCCGGCUUCUGAUUUUGUUGGCGGGUACGUACCGGAGGGUUAC
RNAcentral lists this long non-coding RNA (45801 nucleotides) under Malus domestica (apple). Its description in RNAcentral is "long non-coding RNA (MDOM_LNC006837)". Lineage: Eukaryota; Viridiplantae; Streptophyta; Magnoliopsida; Rosales; Rosaceae. The record is from RNAcentral.